UAGUCCAAAAGGAAUGUCCCUUGAUACCAUAAACAAAAAAUACCAUGUCUGCUUUUUAUUCAAUAAUAAUAAUACAAAGAUGACUGAUCCAAACAAUUUUAAGCUCAAACACAAUGUUAUAAGGUAAGAUAAGAACUAAUGUCACAAUAUUACAGGUAAAUCGUUUUUUUUCUUCCUGUUUUUCAAUUUUUAUCACUAUAAUAUUUUCUAUUCCAAAUCUUUAAGAUCCUCAUCCAUUGGUAUGGUAUAGAAGAAGUGUUCAAUUUGCUCGACUGCAUUAUCCUCGCCCUGUGUCUUGUUUCCUCUCUUUAUUGGAGCUAGGCUCUCCUUGUAAUUGAAAACCCAACAGCCAGCAAUGUUAAGGUCCAGCUGAAAUCCAAGAUCUGUAACUUGUCUUGUUGUAGGGUCAUAUAGCACCAGCUGUGAAGUUUCUGUGAUCUCAAAAACCAUGUUAUCGUUAUCCCAGAUGUUGCGAGGCCAAUGAGCAUCUAUAUGAGGUUGUACAGUUAGAACUUUGGACCAAAUUCCCUCUUGUUCAUACCCACACAUCAUAUAUGGAUGUCAUAGGUUUGCCAGGGUCACCGGUUAAUAAAGCAAGUGAGUUGCCACGCAAUGUAAGCGUCCCCCAAUGUUCACUUGGAAUAUCUGGGACUUGCAUCUCCCUAAACUGUUCGCUGCCCAUGUCAAAAGAGCGAAUCGUGUAGAUCUCAUCAAGGCCCCUAGAAAGCCAAUAAUAAACCCCGUUGAGAUAAGUGGCAUCAAGGGGUGCAGAUAAGGUAGAACUGGAAGGGAAUUCAGGAGUUAGGUGUUUCCAUGAGUUGUUGCAUGAGGAAUAAACACAGGCAUAGACACGAGGACAAACACCUUGUCCCGGUUCAUCCCAGAAUACUCGAAUCCAUACAACCUUAUAAUCUUGAGUCAACAGGUCAAAUCCCAAUCCGAACUGAUGAUCAUGGUCCGAGAAAAAGUACUCAAUCUCAAAAGGCGCAGGCGGCAGAGACCUGAACUCUCUGGUGGCAGGAUUCCACAAACCCAAGCAGACAUUGUCUCCAUAAAACUUCUUCUGCACUAAGAAUAAGCCAUCAACUGGACCAGCAACACACGUGAAAUCAGCGACCCUCGGAAGCUGAAGGAGAGUUUUUUGUUCAGGGGUCACACCUGGAACAAUUUCUUCAGGGAGCAAGGAGAAUACAACAGACCUUACGAUGGCGUCUACUUCACGUGCUACUUUCAAGUUGCAAACAAGGAGACGGGCACGAUUGUUCUUGUGAUGAAAAUGUUUUUCUAUGAAACUCGGACUUUUGAUGAGAGCAUACCAGUGCUUGCACACACAUUUGAAAAGCAAGAGUGAUUCCACUGGCAAUCUCAAUAGAAUAUCAACUACUAGAUCUUCUGGUAAAGGACAGCGACCAUCCAUACUGGUGGAAAUAUAAGUAGAAUGAGGCAACUUACAAACAUAUUGAAAGAGAGCAGAUCUAGAAAACAUGCAUUAAUAGAACACACAGUGCAACAAAAAAGAUCAAGUAGUAGCAUUACCAUGUGAAGCAAAAAAGGGGAAGUUACAAAUUUGACCACUCAGCCACAAAUAUUUACAUCCGCAAGCCAUUACACAUAUAUUAUGGGUAUACAUAUUUUUAAAAAUAUUUUGACAAAUCUUCUUGUAGAUCAAUUUUGGAGAAAAGAUCCAAAAUAGUUCCUUAUGUUUGGCUUCAGACUCAAGGUCAUCCCUUCCCUUUCUUUUAUAUGGUGCACUAAUAGUCCUUUAAGUUUCAAGUAUUAGUGCACUUUUAAUCUCUUCAUUAACAUCCAUUUACUCAUUAACGUUUUGAUCCUUUACACAUCCAUUUAUGGCCUCCGCUGUAUACGUUCUGGUAUAACACAAAUUAAUUCUUAGAUUUAUCUUAGCAGUUGCAGAUGAGUCUUCAUUUGUACUUGUUUUAUUUUUUGGCUCUGCAUCUUUCAUUGUUUGGUGUGCACCAUUCAAGAUUUGCUAAUUCUUUAACUUUCUCCUCUAUUUUCCAUACGCAAUUAAUAAGCUGACUAUAAGUCUUUGGGUUUUCCUGAAUAAAAGCUGACUAUAUAUCUGAAACAUAACCAAAGAAUAAAAUAAAAACAAGAAAAAAGGAAAAAUAUAAUACAUACUUAGUCUUCGUGUAUCAAUAUCUCAAAUUAGCAUCGGAUAAAAGUGCACUAAUACUUAAAACUUUGGAGGACUAUUAGUGCACCAAUUGAUGAUUUCGAAUCUAAAGCCAAAAAUAAAGGACUAUCUUGUAUUUUUUCUUUCGAUUUGGGCUGAUAUGGUUUGGACGGAUCAAUAAUCAGCCAAAUAGAGUCAAUAAGAGGAGACUAGUAAAGAAGUAGUCAUGCGGUUUUCUAGUCUUUUCAUUAACUAGUCAAUAAUUAUUUUUAAAGCUACAUAUCAAGUUAGCAUAUAGAGCAAUUUUGCAGGUAAUUUAAGGAUUAAGGAGCAUGAAACAGUAAUUACCCUUUUCUACUAAUAUCAAUCUACAAAUCCUUGGAAAUGGAACAAUUUUAACUUGCCCAAUAUUGAAAUGUAAAAGAUGGAAAGAAAUAAAAAGAAUUAGCAUAAACAGAAACAAUGACAGCAAAACCCUAUAUCCAUCCCCAAAUAGCACAAAUUCAGAUUCAGAUUCAGAUUCAAAUUCAAAAAAAUAAUCAGAAAUCUAACCUUAUAAGCUGAUGAAGAAGAAGUGCCGCAAUUACGACAAGGUAAAAAUGGAAAAAGAGAUUGGAUUGAUUGAGUGGUGUUGUAGAAAUACCUCCAACAGUUGACUACUUCCUCACUUUCCUACACUUCUUUUGUCAUUUUAGUUUAUAUAACUCCCCUUAAUUCCUUUUAUCCAAGUUUUUAAUACCAAGGGAUAUGAUGGAGUAAUAAGUACUUAUUCAUUGUUAAUUAGAGGUCUUGGAUUUGAAUCUUUUGGCUAUGAAGUCAUCCGUGUUAGGGAGCACUUUACCCAUAAUGUGAGAUUUUUCGACUGGGCUCUAAUAUGGAUACCGAACAUUGAGCGAUUUUUCUUUUUUUACCUUAGUGGUCAUUUGGUAGGUGGAUAAAGCUACAUCUAAUACAUGAAUCACUACAAGAAAAGUGCUGAUUACCUGGGAAUUAUUGUAGAGAAUAUAUGAUAACCCUAAUGGGUGGAGGGAGGACCAAUUUAUAGAGGUUAUGAUUUAAUCUGGUAUAUCCAUCAAGUAACCAAUGUACGGACGAGAUCUAUUCCUUAUUAAAUAUUAUUUAUGGUAUUACUUGCGUUACUAGUAAACUUGAGCCAUAAGUAAGAAAUAAUUAAUAAUAAUUAAUAAUAAUUCUUACACUUCGGGGUGCCUUCGCCAUAGUUCAAGUCUGGAGUCGGCCAUUUCAGUUCUUGAAAGCUUUUAAUCUAGCUAGUGUUAUUCAUAGUACUUCCGUGUACUUAUCGACCUUAUGUGAGUCCAAACUCGUUUGAGUUAUACAUUUACUUUCUAAUUGUGCACGAGUAUACAUACUUUCUAGGCUUAUAGAGGUCCAGUUAGGUUAUAGAUUAUUGCUUUACUUUACUACUUCGUUCUUUUCAGACUCGUGAGCUAUAUAGUUAGACUUUCCGUUAUUGCUUUGUUCAUUUGACCUCUAAUUACUGUUACUUUCAUAUUCUUCAUAUUGUUUUUACUUUCCAAGUUCAGUUGACCUAUGAUGCCUACUGGACACCUGUUGUUCUGAUAUUCAUGCUACACUCCACAUCUGUUUUCUUGAUGUGGAUUUGAGCGCCAGCCGACAACGGUGAUUGGAGCCUAAGUAAUGCGGAGAUCUUCUGAGAUGAAUGGUGAGCUAAUGGCGUCCUAGUUCGACUUAUCUCCAUAUGUAUAUAAUUUUUUACAUGUCUUUUGUAUUCGAGACAAAUUUAUUAAGUUAGUCAAUAGCAUAGGCUCGAAACUAUGACUAGAACAUUGAGUGCAUGACAUGCACAUCUUACUCCUUACUUUCCUUAUUCGUGCCUGUUUUUUUCAUACUUUCUAACUUUCACUAGUACAUUAUCCCUUGUUAAGGAAAAUUAUGUAAACAAAAUAGUAAAUGGCCUGAUCCACUUAAGAGUGAGGGCUAGUUCAUUGAUUGAUACAGCUAAAUCACAUUAAAUAAUAAAUACGGAGGAGGGCCUAAAAUACCCUUCAAGUAUAGGUAAUGGAACAAAAAUACCCUCUUCCACCUUUAGGCUCCAAAAUACCCUUCCAUCCAUCUAUAUGGACCUAUAUUACCCUUUCACUUAACAGAUUCUUUAAGACUAAUAAUUAAUCUUUUCAUUAAUGAUGUGACAGUCUUUAAUUGGUUGAAAUUGGAAUUAACCAAAAUAAGAAUUUCUCUUAAUUAAACCCAGAUCCAACUAAAUUCCACCCGACUCACUUAAAAUUCUAUUGACCCAUAUCUUAAAUAAUCAAACUUCAAUCAACAACUUGCUCCAGUUAUUUUUAAUCCCAGUCAAAAAAGAGGUACAUUAGACCAUAAACAACAUGAAACUUCCGAAAAUUCCCUGGAAACAUUCCAAGAAGGAAGAAGUGAAAUACAAGAUCAAGUGCCACUAUAAUCAUAUACCAAUAUACACCAUAUUUUGAAACACUAUGAAAAGUCCAGCAAAUCUCCAAUCUCUGGGAAACAUAAACUCAAAGCGGUAAAAUUUCUCAAAAUCCGAAACCCUAGAGUUCAAAAAUUAUUUCACUUCUUUCUUUUUUGCGAUUCAUAUAAAGCACCGCACGCAAAAAGCAAAACCAACAUAAUUUUGGGAAAUUCUCAAAGCAGAAUCAUGGAAUAGAAUAUAAAAAAAAAAUAAAAAAUUUAGCCAUAGCAAGAGAUUAUAUACUUGAUGAAGAAAAGCGAUAGAUAUCGCUUUUCUUCAUCUGCAAAUUUUACGAGAAAAUUAUAUGGAGAGAAAUUCAGUGUACAGAGAAAAAAAAGGAAACUCACCGCUACACACUCGAUUCUUCUUGUUUUUUUUUAAAGAUAUGGGUCAGUAAAAUUUUACGUGGGUUGGGUAGAGUUUAGUUGGAUCCGGGUUUGAUUUGGAGAAAUUAUUGUUUUUGCUUAAUCUAAAUUCCAGCCAAUUAAAGAUUGUCACAUCAUUAAUGAAAAGAUUAAUUAUUACUCAUAAAAAAUCUGUUAAGUGAAAGGGUAAUAUAGGUCCAUAUAGAUGGAUGAAAGGGUAUUUUUGAGCCCAAAGGUGGAUGGAGGGUAUUUUUGUUCCAUUCCCUAUACUUGAAGGGUAUGUUAGGCCCUUCUCCGUAAUAUAUAUUACAUUUUUGAACUGUUAAACUAGAAACAAGAUUUAGGAUUUUUCAAGUGGACCAAAAUACAGAUAUUGAUGCCGAGUACUUAAAGUCUGUUGCUUGCCGAUACUCUAAAAGUAGUAGUGUAUUUUUGGAGAAUCUAACAUGAGUGGAGAGUACACGCGCAACUUAGCUUAAAUUGUGUUGGUCCAAAAGGAAUGCCCCUUGAUACCAUAAACAAAAAAUACCAUGUCAGCUUUUUAUUCAAUAAUAGUACAAAGAUGACUGAUCCAAACAAUUUUAAGCUCAAACACAAUGUUAUAAGAAGACAAGAUACGAACUAAUGUCACAAUAUUACAGGUAAAUCGUUUUUUUUUCUUCCUGUUUUUCAAUUAUUAUCAUUAUAGUAUUUUGUAUUCCAAAUCUUAACGAUACUCAUCCAUUGGUAUGGUAUAGAAGAAGUGUUCAAUUUGCUCGACCUCGCCCUGUGUCUCGUUUCCUCUCUUUAUUGGAGCUAGGCUCUCCUUGUAAUUGAAAACCCAACAGCCAGCAAUGUUAAGGUCCAGGUGAAAUCCAAGAUCUGUAACUUGUCUUGUUUUAGGGUCAUAUCGCACCAGCUGUGAAGUUUCUGUGAUCUCGAAAACCAUCUUAUCAUUAUCCAAGAUGUUGCGAGGCCAAUGAGCAUCUAUAUGAGGUUGUACAGUUAGAACUUUGGACCAAUUUCUGUCUUGUUUCAUUACCCACACAUCGUAUAUGGAUGUCAUUGGUUUACCAGGGUCUCCGGUUAACAUAGCAAGUGAGCCGCCAUGCAAUGUAAGUGUCCCCCAAUGUUCACUUGGAAUAUCUGGGACUUGCAUCUCCCCAAACUGUUCGCUGCCCAUGUCAAAAGAGCGAAUCGUGUAGAUCUCAUCAAGGCCCCUACAAAGCCAAUAAUAAACCCCGUUGAGAUAAGUGGCGUCAAGGGGUGCAGAUAAGGUAGAACUGGGAGGGAAUUCAGGAGUAAGGUAUUUCCAUGAAUUGUUGCAUGAGGAAUAGACACAGGCAUAGACACGAUUAUUAGCACCUUGUCCCAGUUCAUCCCAGAACACUCGAAUCCAUACAACCUUAUAAUCUAGAGUCAACAGGUCAAAUCCCAAUCCGAACUGAUGAUCAUGGUCCGAGAAAAAGUACUCAAUCACAAAAGGCGCAGGAGGCAGAGACCUGAACUCUCUGGUGGCAGGAUUCCACAAACCCAAGCAGACAUUGUAUCCAUAAAACUUCUUCUGCACUAAGAAUAAGCCAUUAACUGGACCAGCAACACACGUGAAAUCAGUGAUCCGAAGCUGAAGGAGAGUUUUUUGUUCAGGGGUCACACCUGGAACAAUUUCUUCAGGGAGCAAGGAGAAUACAACAGACCUUACGAUGGGGUGUACACGUGCUACUUUCAAGAUGCAAACAAGGAGGCGGGCACAAUUAUUCUUGUGAUGAAAAUGUUUUUCUAUGAAACUCGGACUUUUGAUGAGAGCAUACCAGUGCUUGCACACACAUUUGAAACGCAAGAGUGAUUCCACUGGCAAUCUCAAUAGAAUAUCAACUACUAGAUCUUCUGGUAAAGGACGGCGACCAUCCAUACUGGUGGAAAUAUAAGUAGAAUGAGGCAACUUACAAACAUAUUGAAAUAGAAUAGAUCUAGAAAACAUGCAUUAAUAGAACACACAGUGCAACGAAGAAGAUCAAGCAGCAGCAUUACCAAUGUGAAGCAAAAAAGGGGAAGUUACACAUUUGACCACUCGGCCACAAAUAUUUAUAUCCGCAAGCCAAUACACAUAUUAUGGGUAAACAUAUUUUUAAAAAUAUUUUGACAAAAUUUCUUGUAGAUCAAUUUGGGAGAAAAGAUCCAAAAUAGUUCUUUAUGUUUGGCUUCAGACUCAAAGUCAUCCCUUCCCUUUCUUUUAUAUGGUGCACUAAUAGUCCUUUAAGUUUCAAGUGUUAGUGCACUUCUAGUCUCUUGAUUAACAUCCAUUUACUCAUUAACGUUUUGAUCCUUUACACAUCCAUUUAUGGCCUCCGCUGUAUACAUUCUGGUACAAAACAAAUUAAUUCUUAGAUUUAUCUUAGCAAUUGCAGAUGAGUCUUCAUUUGUACUUCGUUUUAUAUUUUGGCUCUGCAUCUUUCAUUGUUUGGUGUGCAGUAUUCAAGAUUUGCUAAUUCUUUAACUUUCUCCUUUAUUUUCGAUACACAAUUAAUAAGCUGACUAAGUCUUUGGGUUUUUCCUGAAUAAAAGUUUCUUGCGCUUUGCCUAUAUAUCUGGAGCAUAACCAAAGAAUAAAUAAAAACAAGAAAAAAGGAAAAAUAUAAUACAUACUUAGUCUUCGUGUAUCAAUAUCUCAAAUUAGCAUCGGAUAAAGGGUGUGUUCCGUAGAAAAUAGUUUCUAAUCAAAAUUUUUGGAAAAGAUUUUCUUAGGAAAACAAGUUCCAUACGUGACACUUCAAAAUUCAAAUGAAGAAAAUGACUUUCUAAAGGAAGUAGGGAAAACAAGUUUCAUAUGUGACAUUUCAAUUGAGUAUGUCCUCCCACUCUCUAAGACACCACAUAUUCACCUCACUCCCGUAGCUUCCAUACCCACUACCCUACACAUCUACCCCACCUCCGUCCCUCAUAGUAUUGUCUAGAUAAUACAUAAAUGCUUUUAGAAUAAUAUUAAAUUUUUUUUGCUUAUAUACCAAACACAAAAUAUACAUAAGAAUCUCACUUAUUUUCCUAGAAAAUAUUUUUCAAAAAAUAUUUUCCUUGGUACCGUACACACCCAAAGUUCCAAUGUCCUCGGAUAAUAUCAGCCAAAUAGAGUCAAUAAGAGGAGACUAGUAAAGAAGUAGUCAUGUGGUUUUCUAGUCUUUUCAUUAACUAGUCAAUAAUUAUUUUUGAGCUACAAAUCAAAUUAGCAUAUAGAGCAAUUUUGCAGGUAAUUUAAGGAGCAUGAAACAGUAAAUACCCUUUUCUGCUAAUAUCAAUCUACAAAUCCUUGGAAAUGGAACAAUUUUAACUUACCCAAUAUUGAAAUGUAAAAGAUGGAAAGAAGUAAAAAGAAUUAGCAUAAACAGAAACAAUGGCAGCAAAACCCUAUAUCCAUCCCCAAACAGCACAAAUUCAGAUUCAGAUUCAAAUUCAAAAUAAUAAUCAGAAAUCUAACCUUAUAAGCUGAUGAAGAAGAAGUGGCGGACAAGGAAAAAAUGGAAAAAGAGAUAUCGGAUCGAUUGAUUGGUGUUGUAGAAAUACCUCAACAGUUGACUACUUCCUCACACUUCUUUCGUCAUUUUAUUUUACUACUUCUUGGGAACGCGUUUGUUCCUCUCCUUUUUUUUUCUCGCGUGUGUUCCUUAUUAUUAUUAAAUUUUUAUAUACUAAAAAGUUGAGUUAUAAAAUAGAAAAUGCUGAAAUUAACAAUAGUAGUUUUAUCAUUUAUAUUUUAUUUACUAAAUAAUAAAAAAUAUAUACUGGAGCAUUUUUUGUUAACCUUCAUUUGUUGUUUCUCACUCUCUUUUCUUCUCAUGUUGAAAUUUGAUUGUGCAAUUACCUUCCUAUGAUAACAUCAAUCUUUGUGAAAUUGGUUCUUAAAAAGCAAAUUCAAAUUUUAAUUUUGGAAGUGUUUUUACAUAAUAGUGGAGAAUGAUUCUUCAUAUUCAACUUUUAAUUUUGAAUUGUAAUGAACAAUUACUAUUCAAAUACAAAUCUAGUUUAUUUUUAACCUUACAUUUAUUGAAUCUUUAAUGUGUACGUUAAUGAUAUAUAAUAAUUUAUUAAUUAGGUAUUUGAUUUAGUGUAGGGGCAAAAUGGUAAUUCAACUAUACACUUUCGAGUUUUCACUUUUAAUAAGUAAUUAUAAUAUAUACAAAAGAUUAAACCAUUUGAUAUUAAAAAAAUAUAUGUAUGAGUAAUAAUUAACAUUCAAUGGCAAAAGAAUGUAUCACAUUCUCAUAAACAAUAUCUCUAAGGCAAAAGUAGACAUUCUAAUUUGGACAAUUACUACUUAACUACUUAUGGGUUCAGCCAAUAAUCUGGAGAUAGGAGUUUGACAAUUUUUCAGCCAUAGUUAAAAUUCUACAUCAAUAAUAAAUAGCUUCUUAUCACAGUAAAUAGACAUUUGAAUAAUUAAUAUAAAUUGAGCAACACAAACUUUUCAAAAUGACUUAUUCUAGAUAUAUAAUAGGGAAAAGGGUCAAAAUUACCCCUCAGUUUUGUUUUAUUGGUUAACUUUAUCCUUACCAUUAAAAACAAGUUAUUUUUACCCCUGUCGUCAAUAAACUUAACAAAUAUACCCCUCCUUGAACGGAAACCCCCAAAUCAAUUGAAAUUACCCGAUUUUAAUUGAAAUUAUCCAAUUUCUUUUUUAACCCGAACUAGAACCCAACCCACUAAACUAAACAAAUUAACCCAUUUCCAAUCUUCUUCAUCUCAGUGUUCUUGGCUAAGUACCCUAAGAACACUCACAAUCUUUAUCAUAGCUAACACAUAAAUCCUACAUUGUCUGACAAAAUCAAUUGAAAAGGUUCGUUGGUUGAAUGUAUAACAAGUAAAUUAUUUUUGCUGAACAACAUCCCGCCUCUCUCUGUUGUGGGGUUCAGCGAAGAACAAGCCACAGAGCAAGUAAAUGGAAAAGUUUCAAUUUACACAUCAUCAUUCAAUCCAAUGAAGAAAACCAUUUCUAGGUACCAACCAAAUUACUUUUUGAUUUGUUGUCAGUAGGCUGCCCCUAAAUGUGUACCCAAUAGUACAUCUAAUUCUUCUUUACCUGGCUCGUAAAUCAAUUCAGUGGCCCUCCAUGAUUCUUGUAUGUGCACGUAAAAUUAAGCUACAAUGGAGGGGAGGUUUUUCUUUUCUCUAUCUUUUUAUUUGUUCAAAAUGUUUCCAAUAUAUCAUCAUAUUUGAUGAGUACUGGAUAUUUGAUGAUUACUGAUUUCUUGUAUGUAGCAAAUCAUGUGAUUGAACGACUGCAGUGUUUAGCCUAGGCAACCUUCAACAAACAAUUUGGAGAUAAAUAUCAGGUCUUUUCGAUUGAUUUUGUUAGACAAUGUAGAAUUUGUGUUAGCUAUGAUAAAGAUUGUGAGUGUUCUUAGGGUACUUAGCCAUGAACACUGAGAUGAAGAAGAUUGGAAAUGGGUUUAUUUGUUUAGUUUAGUGGGUUGGGUUCUGGUUCAGGUUAAAAAAGAAAUUGGAUAAUUUCAAUUAAAAUUGAAUAAUUUCAAUUGAUUUGGGGAUUUCCGUCCAAGGAGGGAUAUAUUUGUUAAGUUUAUUGACGGCAGGGGUAAAAAUAACUUGCUUUUAACGGUAAGAGUAAAAUCAACCAAUAAAAUAAAGUUGAUGGGUAAUUUUGACCCUUUUCUCUAUAUAACAUAUAUGGACAAUUUGAGGAAUGAAUGUUUCAACACAUGAAUAAUAGACUAAUAAGGUCAAUAGAUUAUACAUAUAAAUGAAAAGUUAAAUAAAAAUACAGCCUCAAAAUCACAUACUAUGAUCCAUCAUUUAUCUCCAAUUCGGUGGCCCAGUUUAUUUUAGGGUAUGGAUUCUUUUAUUUUUAAAAAAAAAACAUAUUUGAUUUUUCUCAUUUAGUUAUUCCUCUCCCUACUCAUAAAUAAUAAUCUCGAAAAAAUAUUUUUACUAAAGUAGAACACUCUAUCAAGAGCCAAAUAAACAUAUCAAAUUAACUAAUUAAUCUUUCAUCAAUUAUUGAUAGAACAUGAAUUGUAUAUCACUACUUUCUUCAUGUAGGAUACAAGAUAUUUCAAUAGAAAAACAAAAUCAUAAGAAAGCAUAUCAAAAUAUAAAAAAAGGACAUAUAAAAUACUUUGGCUGGACAAGGAGGAGCGGAUAAAAACAAAAGGAAAUUACUGCACAUACAAAAUGAUGAGCAAGAUUAGUUUUUUGCAGGAUAGUCUCUCAUCCUCCUCUUAUCAUUUACAUGAAAACCAUGCUAGGCAUUUUAUAGCAAUAGCUAGGAUGACCUUUGAGUAGAUAAUUAAUUUGCAUUAAUUUAGUUUAAUGAUUUUAGUCCAUAUCAAAUUUAUUUAAUGGAAAACUCUUCAAAUACUCUUGAUUUUACAGAAAAAGAGAAAUUGACUAUUAAUGUGAAUUUGAUUCAUGUACCAAUUUAAAUGAGUUUAAUCUAAGGAAGUGAAAAAAUCAUUAACAUUUUUAUUAAAACGAUACAAUUUAAUAUUUAAAUUAAAUAGUUAAAUAUUUUAUAACAUUUUAAUUUAUAAUAGGGGUAAAACGGUAAUUCAACUUUUAACUUUUUUUAUUCCCGCUUAUAGUAAUAUAUGAUACAACUCCUCUUAAUUCCUUUUAUCUAAGUUUUUAAUUAUGUGGUGGAGUAAUAAGUACUUAUUCAUUCUUAAUUAGAGGUUCCAGUUUGAGUCUUUUUGGCUAUAAAAUCAUCUCUGUUAGAGCGCUUUACCCAUAAUCUAAGAUUUUUCGACACAAAUUCAAAUUUAGUGAGGCUCUAAUAUGGAUAUCGAACACUGAGGGGAAAAUAAAAAUAAAAAUUACCUUAGGGGUUAUUUGGUAGGUGGAUAAAGCUACAUCUAAUACAUGAAUAACAAAGUUAUUUAUGUAUUUAAUUUAUAUAAUGUUUGUAUAAAAGUUAUUCAUAUAUUAACAAAGAUGUUUCUCUCUACGAUAUGUUCCCACAGGAGAAAGAGUUUGUUACUUGAAGAGGGGGGGGGGGGAUGUUGNNNNNNNNNNNNNNNNNNNNNNNNNNNNNNNNNNNNNNNNNNNNNNNNNNNNNNNNNNNNNNNNNNNNNNNNNNNNNNNNNNNNNNNNNNGAAGGGGGGGGGGGGGUAUUUGGAGUCUUUUAGCCACAGUUCGAAGCCCUGACAUAUCGAUCUCUUUUAGCCACGGUUCAAGGUCCCAACGUAUUUUGUUUUGCCACGGUUCAAGGUCCCGACGUAUUUUAUUUUGCCACGGUUCGAGGCCCCAUCAUAUCUCUAUUCGCCUUGGUUCGAAUCCUAACAUGUGGUUCAUUUGGGUUCUUCGGGGUGCCUUCACCAAAGUUCAAGUCUAGAGUCAGCCAUUUUAAGUUCUUGAAAGCUUUUAAUAUAACUAGUGUUAUUCAUAGUACUUCUGUGUACUUAUCAGGCUUAUGUGAGUCCAAACUCGUUUGAGUUAUUUACUUUCCAAUUGCGCACAGGUAUACAUACUUUCUGGGCUUAUAGGGGUCCAGUUAGGUUAUAGAUAAUUGUUUUACUUUACUACUUUGUUCUUUCCAGACUCGUGAGCUAUAUAGUUAGACUUUCCGUUAUUACUUUGUUCAUUUGACCUCUAAUUACCGUUACAUUCAUAUUUUUCAUAUUGUUUUUACUUUCCAUGCCCAGUCGACCUAUGAUGCUACUGGGCACCUGUUGUUUUGAUAUUAUGCUACACUCCACAUCUGUUUUCUUGAUGUAGAUUUGAGCGCCAGCUGAUAAUGGUGAUUCGAGCCUAAGAAAUGCGGAGAUCUUCUGAGAUGAAGGGUGAGCUGAUGGCAUCCUAGUUCGACUUAUCUCCAUAUGUAUAUAGUUUUUUAAUGUCUUUUGUAUUCGAGACAAGUCUAUUAAGUUAGUGAAUAGCAUAGGCUCGAAACUAUGACUAGAACAUUGAGUGCAUGACAUGCACAUCUUACUCCUUAUUUUCCCUAUUCGUACCUGUUUUUUUCAUACUUUCUAACUUCACUGGUACAUUAUUCCUUGUUAAGGAAAAUUAUGUAAACAACUAGUUCUUUGAUUGAUACAACUAAUUCACAUUAAAUAAUAACUAGAAUCUUAUUACAUUUUUGAACUGUUAAACUAGAAACAAGAUUUAGGAUAAGGGAACUAUUUAUUAACUUCACUUCUCCUUAUUAGUGUCAAAAGUUUCUCGUUUAGGAAAUAUGAAGUUUUGAAGGACUAAUAGUAUAUUAUCCUUUUUUAAAAUUGAACUCUAUCCAAUGGUUGAUUCUAUUUAUGAAUCAAUUCCUUAGGUGCAUUAUUUCCAUAGGUUUCAACAUUGGUAACAAAAUCUAGCUUUCUCGCUUAAAUUGACAUAUUUCUAUACUUCCCUCAUCUUAUCUAUCACUGAGGCCGCUCCCAUCUUAUCCCUUAUAUCCUUAUUUAUAAUUUUUAUCGCUCCGAGUAUGAACGUGCAUCCACCUCAAUAUAUAUUCACAUCUCUGCAACAUGCAUCUUCUAGACAUGGGACUUGACUGGCCAACUCUCAUUUCCAUACAACAAUUACAUACACACUCUAUAUAAAUACACACAUACAUAUAUUGAUGGAAAAAUCAUCAACAGAUGAAACUUAAGCAAUACUCCCUCCAUCUCAAUUAAUGUGACAGUCGGAAUUUUGUCUUUUAAAUUGUUAAUUAUUGUGAUUUACCAUUUUUCACAUAAUUUUCAAAUACAUAAAUUUUAUAUCAAAAAAACUUAAAGUUUCUGUAUCCGAAUUUACUAUUAAAUUAUAGAAGUUUGAAUCUCAAAAUUUCAACUAAUGCCACAUAAAUUAAAUCAACUCCAACACUCAGAAAAGCUACAAAAGUUCAAACAUAGAAAGUAAAAAAAAAUUUAAAAAAGAAAUAGAAAAAACCUUGAGAUAAUAUGUCUUGCUAAUUUCCUCUUCAGAUGCUAAUUAAAGGACUUACACCAAGAACAUCAUAAUACUCUGUGUCUUUCACCAUUUUCUUUUCUUUUUCCAAAAUCCCUAUUAACAAAAAAUUUACUCUUUUACCUCCUCCAAUACUCUAAUUACCUUUUUUUUCGCGCUUCUAAAAUCUUAAUACAAGAGCGAAAAACCACUUGAGUGUAAGGAAAGGAAACAAGCCAAACGAAAAAAAAAAAAAAAACUCUCAAAAUUAUAUGAUCAAGAAAACUUGCAAGUACAAAAGGAGAAAGAGGAGGGGGUGGGUGGGGUAUGAUGAAAAGAAUGUCUCAGAAUAAGAGAGUGCCCCAACGAGACAAAGCUGCCUUUCCAGUUCUGAUCAACAAAUUAAUUACGGAAAAUCUGUUGCUUGUCGAUACUCUAAAAGCAGUGUAUUUUUGGAAUUAAGAGGAGUUGUAUAAACUAAAAUGACAAAAGAAGUGUAGGAAAGUGAGGAAGUAGUCAACUGUUGAGGUAUUUCAACAACACCACUCAAUCAAUCCAAUAUCUCUUUUUCCAUUUUUACCUUGUCGUAAUUGCGGCACUUCUUCUUCAUCAGCUUAUAAGGUUAGAUUUCUGAUUAUUUUUUUGAAUCUGAAUCUGAAUCUGAAUUUGUGCUAUUUGGGGAUGGAUAUAGGGUUUUGCUGCCAUUGUUUCUGUUUAUGCUAAUUUUUUUUAUUUCUUUCCAUCUUUUACAUUUCAAUAUUGGGUAAGUUAAAAUUGUUUCUUUUCCAAGGAUUUGUAUAUUGAUAUUAGUAGAAAAGGGUAAUUACUGUUUCAUGCUCCUUAAAUUACCUGCAAAAUUGUUCUAUAUGCUAACUUGAUAUGUAGCUCAAAAAUACCUAUUGACUAGUUAAUGAAAAGUCUAGAAAACCACAUGACUACUUCUUUACUAGUCUCCUCUUAUUGACUCUAUUUGGCUGAUUAUUGAUCCGUCCAACCCAUUUCAACCCAAAUCGAAAGAAAAAAUCCAAGAUAGUCCUUUAUUUUUGGCUUUAGAUUCGAAAUCAUCAAUUGAUGCACUAAUAGUCCUCCAAAGUUUUAAGUAUUAGUGCACUUUUAUCUGAUGCUAAUUUGAGAUAUUGAUACACGAAGACUAAGUAUGUAUUAUAUUUUUCCUUUUUUCUUGUUUUUAUUUUAUUCUUUGGUUAUGCUCCAGAUAUAUAGGCAAAGCACAAGAAACUUUUAUUCCGGAAAAACCCAAAGACUUAUAGUCAGCUUAUUAAUUGCUUAUGGAAAAUAGAAGAGAAAGUUAAAGAAUUAGCAAAUUUUGAAUGGUGCACACCAAACAUUGAAGAUGCAGAGCCAAAAAAUAAAACAAGUACAAAUGAAGACUCAUCUGCAAUUGCUAAGAUAAAUCUAACAAUUAAUAUGUUUUGUACCAGAACGUAGACAGUGGAGGUUAUAAAUGGGUGUGUAAAGGAUCAAAACGUUAAUGAGUAAAUGGAUGUUAAUGAAGAGACUAAAAAUGCACUGACACUUGAAACUUAAAGAACUAUUAGUGCACUAUAUAAAAGAAAGGGAAGGGAUGACUUUGAGUCUGAAGCCAAACAUAAGGAACUAUUUUGAAUCUUUUCCAAACAAUGUUAAGCUCAAACACAAUGUUAUAAAAAGGUAAGAUAAGAACUAAUGUCACAAUAUUACAGGUAAAUCGUUUUUUUUUCCUGUUUUUCAAUUUUUAUCACUAUAAUAUUCUGUAUGUCAAACUCUAAGAUCCUCAUCCAUUGGUAUGGUAUAGAAGUAGUGUUCAAUUUGCUCGACUGCAUUAUCCUCACCCUGAGUCUCGUUUCCUCUCUUUAUUGGAACUAGGCUCUCCUUGUAAUUGAAAACCCAACAGCCAGAAAAGAUAAGGUCCAGCUGAAAUCCAAGAUCUGUAACUUGUCUUGUUUCAGGGUUAUAUAGCACUAGCUGUGAAGUUUCUGUGAUCUCGAAAACCAUCUUAUCGUUAUCCCAGAUGUUGUAAGGCCAAUGAGCAUCUAUAUGAGGUUGAAGAGUAAGAACUUUGGACCAAUUUCCCCCUUGUUUCAUUACCCACACAUCGUAUAUGGAUGUCAUUGGUUUGCCAGGGUCACCGGUUAAUAUAGCAAGUGAGCCGCCAUGCAAUGUAAGCUUCCCCCAAUGUUCACUUGGAAUAUCUGGGACUUGCAUCUCCCCAAACUGUUCGCUGCCCAUGUCAAAAGAGUGAAUCGUGUAGAUGUCAUCAAGGCCCAUAGAAAGCCCAUAAUAAACCCCGUUGAGAUAAGUGGCGUCAAGGGGUGCAGAUAAGGUAGAACUGGGAGGGAAUUCAGGAGUAAGGUGUUUCCAUGAAUUGUUGCAUGAGGAAUAGACAUAGGCAUAGACACGAUUAUUAGCACCUUGUCCCGGUUCAUCCCAGAACACUCGAAUCCAUACAACCUUAAAAUCUUGAGUCAACAGGUCAAAUCCCAAUCCGAACUGAUGAUCAUGGUUCGGGAAAAAGGCCUCAAUCUCAAUAGGCGCAGGAGGCAGAGACCUGAACUCUCUAGUGGCAGGAUUCCACAAACCCAAGCAGAUAUCGUCUCCAAACUUCUUCUGCACUAAGAAUAAGCGAUCAACUGGACCAGCAAGACACGUGAAAUCAGUGAUCCUCGGAAGCUGAAGGAGAGUUUUUUGUUCAGGGGUCACACCUGGAACAAUUUCUUCAGGGAGCAAGGAGAAUACAACAGACCUUACGAUGGGGAGUACUUCACAUGCUACUUUCAAGUUGCAAACAAGGAGACGGGCACAAUUGUUCUUGUGAUGAAAAUGUUUUUCUAUGAAACUCGAACUUUUGAUGAGAGCAUACUAGUGCUUGCACACACAUUUGAAACACAAGAGUGAUUCCACUGGCAAUCUCAAUAGAAUAUCAACUACUAGAUCUUUUGGUAAAGGACGGCGACCAUCCAUACUAGUGGAAAUAUAAGUAAAAUGAGACAACUUACAAACAUAUUGAAAGAGAACAGAUCUAGAAACAUGCUUUAAUAGAACACGCAGUGCAACGAAGAAGAUCAAGCAGCAUCAUUACCAUGUGAAACAAAAAAGGGGAAGUUGCACAUUUGAUCACUCAGCCACAAAUAUUUACAUCAGCAAGCCAAUACACAUAUAUUAUGGGUAUACAUAUUUUUAAAAAUAUUUUGACAAUUUCUUGUAGAUCAAUUUGGGAGAAAAGAUCCAAAAUAGUUCCUCAUGUUUGGCUUCAGACUCAAAGGAUGGAGUAAUAAGUACUUAUUCAUUGUUAAUUAGAGUUCUCGGGUUUGAGUCUUUUUGGCUAUGAAGUCAUCUGUGUUAGGGAGCGCUUUACCCACAAUGUGAGAUUAUUCAGCACAAAUUCAAAUUUAGUGGGGGAUCUAAUAUGGAUACCAAACACCGAGUGGAAAACCAAAAAUAAAAAUAAAAAUGACCUUAGGGGUCAUUUGAUAGGUGGAUAAAGCUACAUUUAAUACAUGAAUAACAAAGUUAUUUAUGUAUUUAAUUUAUAUAAUAUUUUGUUUGUAAAAUGUUGUAUAAAAGUUAUUCGUGUAUUAACAAAGAUGUUUAUCUCUACGAUAUGUUCCCGCAGGAGAAAGAGUUUGUUAUUUGAAGAGGGGGGGGGGGUAUUUGGAGUCUUUUAGCCACAGUUCGAAGCCCUGGCGUAUCUCUUUUAGCCACGGUUCAAGGCCCCAACAUAUUUUUUUGGCACGGUUCGAGGCCCCAACAUAUCUCUAUUCGCCUUGGUUUGAAUCCUAACAUGUGGUUCAUUUGGGUUCUUCGGGUGCCUUCGCCAUAAUUCAAGUCUGGAGUCGGCCAUUUCAGUUCUUGAAAGCUUUUAAUCUAGCUAAUGUUAUUCAUAGUACUUCCGUGUACUUAUCGGACUUAUGUGAGUCCAAACUUGUUUGAGUUAUAUAUUUACUUUCUAAUUGUGCACGAGUAUACAUACUUUCUGGGCUUAUAGAGGUCCAAUUAGGUUAUAGAUUAUUGCUUUACUUUACUACUUUGUUCUUUUUAGACUCGUGAGCUAUAUAGUUAGACUUUCCGUUAUUGCUUUGUUCAUUUGACCUCUAAUUAUUGUUACUUUCAUAUUCUUCAUAUUGUUUUUACUUUCCAAGCUCAGUCGACCUAUGAUGCCUACUGGGCACCUGUUGUUCUGAUAUUCAUGCUACACUCCACAUCUGCUUUCUUGAUGUAGAUUUGAGCGCCUGCCGACAACAGUGAUUCGAGCCUAAGUAAUGCGGAGAUCUUCUGAGAUGAAGGGUGACCUAAUGGCGUCCUAGUUCGACUUAUCUCCAUAUGUAUAUAAUUUUUUCCUAUCUUUUGUAUUCGAGACAAGUUUAUUAAGUUAGUCAAUAGCAUAGGCUCGAAACUAUGACUAGAACAUUGAGUGCAUGACAUGCACAUCUUACUCCUUAUUUUCCUUAUUCGUACCUAUUUUUGUUCAUACUUUCUAAAUUUCACUAGUACAUUAUCCCUUGUUAAGGAAAAUUAUGUAUCCAGAAUAGUAAAUGGUCUGAUCCACUUAAGAGUGAAGGCUAGUUCAUUGAUUGAUACAUCUAAAUCACAUUAAAUAAUAUAUAUUACAUUUUUGAACUGUUAAACUAGAAACAAGAUUUAGGAUUUUUCAAGUGGACCAAAAUACAGAUAUUGAUGCAGAGUACUUAAAGUCUGUUGCUUGCCGAUACUCUAAAAGUAGUGUAUUUUUGGAGAAUCUAACAUGAGUGGAGAGUACAUGCGCAACUUAGCUUAAAAUGUGUUGGUCCAAAAGGAAUGCCCCUUGAUACCAUAAACAAAAAAUACCAUGUUUGCUUUUUAUUCAAUAAUAGUACAAAGAUGACUGAUCCAAACAAUUUUAAGCUCAAACACAAUGUUAUAAGGUAAGAAAAGAACUAAUGUCACAAUAUUACAGGUAAAUCGUUUUUUUUCUUCUUCCUGUUUUUCAAUUUUUAUCAGUAUAAUAUUAUGUAUUACAAAUCUUUAAGAUCCUCAUCCAUUGGUAUGGUAUAGAAGAAGUGUUCAAUUUGCUCGACUGCAUUAUCCUCACCCUGAGUCUCGUUUCCUCUCUUUAUUGGAGCUAGGCUCUCCUUGUAAUUGAAAACCCAACAGCCAGCCAUGUUAAGGUCCAGCUGAAAUCCAAGAUCUGUAACUUGUCUUGUUUUAGGGUCAUAUAGCACCAGCUGUGAAGUUUCUGUGAUCUCGAAAACCAUCUUAUCGUUAUCCCAGAUGUUGCGAGGCCAAUGAGCAUCUAUAUGAGGUUGUACAGUUAGAACUUUGGACCAAAUUCCCUCUUGUUUCAAUACCCACACAUCAUAUAUGGAUGUCAUAGGUUUGCCUGGGUCACCGGUUAAUAAAGCAAGUGAGUUGCCACGCAGUGUAAGCGUCCCCCAAUGUUCACUUGGAAUAGCUGGGACUUGCGUCUCCCCAAACUGCUCGCUGUCCAUGUCAAAAGUGCGAAUCGUGUAGAUCUCAUCAAGGCCCGUACAAAGCCAAUAAUAAACACCGUUGAGAUAAGUGGCGUCAAGGGGUGCAGAUAAGGUAGAACUGGAAGGGAAUUCAGGAGUAAGGUGUUUCCAUGAAUUGUUGCAUGAGGAAUAGACACAGGCAUAGACACGAUUAUUAGCACCUUGUCCCAGUUCAUCCCAGAACACUCGAAUCCAUACGACCUUAUAAUCUAGAGUCAACAGGUCAAAUCCCAAUCCCAACUGAUGAUCAUGGUGCGAGAAAAAGGCCUCAAUCUCAAAAGGCGCAGGAGGCAGAGACCUGAACUCUCUGGUGGCAGGAUUCUACAAACCCAAGCAGACAUCGUCUUCAUAAAACUUCUUCUGCACUAAGAAUAAGCCAUCAACUGGACCAGCAACACACGUGAAAUCAGUGAUCCUCUGAAGCUGAAGGAGAGUUUUUUGUUCAGGGGUCACACCUGGAACAAUUUCUUCAGGGAGCAAGGAGAAUACAACAGACUUUACGAUGGGGUGUACUUCACGUGCUACUUUCAAGUUGCAAACAAGGAGACGGGCACAAUUGUUCUUGUGAUGAAAAUGUUUUUCUAUGAAACUUGGACUUUUGAUGAGAGCAUACCAGUGCUUGCACACACAUUUGUAACGCAAGAGUGAUUCCACUGACAAUCUCAAUAGAAUAUCAACUACUAGAUCUUCUGGUAAAGGGCGGUGACCAUCCAUACUGGUGGAAAUAUAAGUAAAGUGAGAAAACUUACAAACAUAUUGAAAGAGAACAGAUCUAUAAACAUGCUUUAAUAGAACACACAAUGCAACGAAGAAGAUCAAGCAGCAACAUUACCAUGUGAAACAAAAAAUUGUAAGUUACACAUUUGACCACUCGGCCACAAAUAUUUACAUCAGCAAGCCAAUACACAUAUAUUAUGGGUAUACAUAUUUUUAAAAAUAUUUUGACAAAAUUUCUUGUAGAUCAAUUUGGGAGAAAAGAUCCAAAAUAGUUCUUCAUGUUUGGCUUCAGACUCAAAGUCAUCCCUUCCCUUUCUUUUAUAUGGUGCACUAAAUAGUUUCAUUUUCUGGCAUUCGAAAUCCUUUUUAUUACAGUUCUAUAUUUGAUUCUGUAUCAUAUAUAUAUAUAUAUAUAUUUAUCCCUGUCGUCGCCUUAGAUUCAUUGGCCUGAAUUUGAACAUUUAUGUAGCUCGGAACACUCAAAUAUCCGCCGCACUAUACCUUGAUUGCUUUUGACUACAUCUAUGACCAGUAAGUACAAGAUUGAUUGGGUAUUUGGUUUGAUUUUUGAGUUUGUCAUAUAUAUACAUAUGAAGCACUUUGUUAUUACACGAUAUAUCUUAUGAAUAAUAUAGGCAAUGUUUAUGAAGAAUUAGUUUUUAAAAGUUUUAGUUCAAUAACUUUGAUUAAUAUAUAUACUUGUAUGUGUUUGUAUAUACAUUUAUUUCUGGUAUCUCAGCACAUGUAUCAUACCCCAAAUCCUAAAAUUCAUGUGAUGAAGAAUUUGACUUUUAGAUCCGCAACCGUUUUGGGUCCAAGCAAUUUUCUUGUGUUAGAAUCUAAAAGCUGAUUUUCAUUUCUAAAAUCGUAAGUUAAGAAACGAAAGAAAAAAAAAAUACAGAUUUCCAUCUUAAAAAUUUGAAGUCUUCCCAUUUUCUAGUGAACAAGCGGUGAUUUGCUUUUCUAAUUUUUUCCUCACUUUUAAAAAGUGUCUUUUUCCUUAUAGGAAAUAUUUUCCAAAACAUUUGAUCAACCGAACAUAGCAAAAUUGGAAAACAUGUAUCGAACACACACAGAUAAAUACAGAUUUCCAUUUUAAGUCUUCCCAUUUCUUAGUAAAGAAGUGGUGAUUUACUUUUCUAAUCUUUUUAUUAGGCAAUCAAUGAUUUUCUUUUUGUAUUUUCAACGUGGAAUGUUACUAGUGCAACUUAUUUUCCCUACUUUCAUCAUAGAAGUAAUUUAAUCACUUUUAAGGAGUUUGUUUUCUAUAGAAAAUAGUAUUUUCUAAAACAUUUGACCAACGAAAAAAAAGAGAAAAUUGAAAAACAUGUAUCGAACACAACCUACAUCAAUUUUGAAACAGAAAGAGAGAAAUGAAAAGUGAAAAAUGGUGGAAGGAGACAUAUAUAUGUGCCAUCUAAUUUAAGAGCAAAAGCAUAACGUAGAGAAAGAGAGCAGCAAAACACAAAUACAGAAAAUUGAAAUCUAACCUGAGGAAGAAGAGCCGUAAAUGAGAAAUGAGAGUAGUGAAGAAGAGGCAAAAAGCUUUGUCUAUUUAUACUACCUACUAAUUAAUUUAGGACCAAAAAUUUCCAAAGUAUUUUUUUUCUUAGAUUUUGUGUCUAGUCAAAAGAAUGUCAUUACCACUAAGCCCAUUUUCUCAUCUAAUUAAUUAUUGUCUCUAUUGCAAGAGUUUUAUUUGAGGUGUUUCACACCCUUUAAGAAAAGUAGAUUAAGACAUAAAUUGAACAUACUUUUCCAUUUUUACCCUUAUUAAUUAUUGUCAAAUUUAUUGAAGUCAUCACAUUGAAAAUCCAAAUGAAGGGUAAAAUUGGAAGAAUAUUUUAAAAAUAGUCUUGAAGAUUGAACAAUUAAGUUAAUUUGAAAAAUGGAAAAUGCCUCAAAAAUUCAAUUAAUAUGGAAUGAAGGGAGCAUACUAUAAGUGGGAAGCUCCUAAUCUCAAAGUUGAUACAAAAAUACCUUUUACUAUUUUUUUUAUUAAAUAAAUAAUUAAAGUUAAUUAGACCAAAUUUACAUGAUUAGCUGUUAGAGUUUAUCAUUUCUUAAUGAGGCUUUAAUUGUUAUCCUUUGAGCUUCUUCCAUUUACACUUAUUCAAACAGUAGUUUAAUGCUUCACACUUAAGUUAUGAUUCUUCUACCUUUCAUCCUCCGCAUUAUUCUUUCAUCUUCCGCAUUAAUAAUUUUCUCUUAAAACCUUUUCUUAUUCCUUACAUUGCAAUACUCUCUAAAAGCUUACAAGAAGUUGUCUUAGCCCUAUUAUUCUAUUUGUGUUCUAUCGGUCAGAAAUUUCCCUUUUUCAGGUAUAUCUAUGAUUUAUAUGUAUCUAUAUGUGGUUUAAAUCUCAUUCUUGAGAUGGUAUAUGUUAUUUAAUAUUAAAAUAUAAUUAUCUUUUAAGUUGGAAUUAUUUGUCCCAAUGAAAGAUUUAGUAAUGUACAAUACACUUUUCACUGAAUGUUAUAAACACGGAGAUUAAUUGUUUUAAAUGGAUAUACUUCCGUGCAUAUUGUCAGAGAGUAAUUCCUUUAAUACUUUGUUAAUUUUAUUCUGUUAGAAAUUUAAUUUAUUAUCUACUUGAAUAUUGCAAUUUGGUGUAGAAGCUUUUAGAUUAAAGGACUUUUUAAUCGUUUUUAAACUGAAAGACUACAUCAUGUUUGCAUAAGAAAAAGUUCAAAUGAAAUUCAAAUAAAAAUAUCAAUUUAUCAAUUUUUCGUUCUCCAUAUAUAGGUUUUAUUGACGGGAUGCUAGGUAUCCAAACAACCUCUCUUUUUAAAGAAAUAAAUUUUCUCUAUCUUUUUAUGACAAAUGAAGAAAUUUUCUCUAUCUUUGUUAUGACAAAUGUUAUAGGCUUAGACUUUGAUCUUCAUCUUCAAUUAUUAUUACAUACAAUUUAUAAUUAACUUGCUACAAUGGGCAUAUCACUUACGUUAUUAUAUAUUAAUACUUAGCGAUAAAUUCUUCUUUCUAUAGGUCAUUUUUGAAAAUGCUUAAAGUAAAAAAUGAUAUUAAUAUAAAAAAUUGUGUCGCAUAUAAGUUGAUACAAAAAAACACCAAGAACUAGAUAGAUAACAAUAGAUCUACAAUAAAAGUUUUGAUCAUGAUAAAGAAAUUGAAACAUCGAAGUAGAACAUAUACAAUUAAAAAUAACAUCUAUAAGAAAGUAUUAGGUAAAUAUAAUUAUAUCACAUAUUUACACCUAAUAGUAUUACUAAUGAACUCAUUUUAUACUGUGCAUAUCUAACUAAAUUAUAUGGGUACACUUUUCAAGUUUAGAUGACAUCGAAUAAUCAACUCAAUUUUUUGACUAUUCUUUAAAUUGAGCAUGUAAGUCUUUUCAUAUUAAAUUUUCUAUUUAUCAUUAUACACAUAUUUUAAUAUUAUCUUUAUCUAUAUAUAUACUAAUUUACACCGGAGAUAACACUUAUUAGAGACAUUUUUUGAUUAUCUAGAUUGUUAUAAAUGAUAUUACCAAUUAAAUUAGGAUACAGGUGCAUGACACGUGGCCAGAAACUAGUACAGUAAAACCUCUAUAAAUUAAUACUCGGUAAAUUAAUAAUCUCUCUAAAGUAAUAUUUUUCUCCGGUCCCGACUUGGGCCAAUGAAAAAAAUUCUCAAUUUCGAUAAGAUAAUAAGAUAUAUAUUUCCAGAAGACCCCUAUAUAAAUAUAUGGUCCCAUUGAUAUCAUAAAUUAAUAAUUCUUUAAAAGUACAAAUAUAUCUAAGACAAUUUAGUGAAAUAUGAUUCUAUUGUGUUCUGUUUUUUUCUUAAAAUUUAAAUCUAGUUGAAACUCAUCUCUAACUUUUCUUAUUGCAUCCAAGAGCUCCGAUAUUAUCUUUUCGAACUGCACUAUAAAAUUGUGAAGAGUUCUAGAUGCGAUAAGUGCUUCAUUACGCGCAACUGGUUCCAAAGGUAUAAUAUCAUCUUCAACUUCAUCAACAACAUUGCUUUUUCCGAUGGUAUCUGUAACACCCGUAACUAGAAAGAACUAAAAAGGAAUUUUUAAAAAGAGGAAAUAGUCAUUUUUGGAAAGUAUAAAAAUUUUGAAAUUUUCAAGUGUGUUAAAGUUGAGUUUUUGGUCAACUUCAAAUAACCAUAACUUCUAGCUCAUGAUGAGUUAGGUGUGUUUCCAAAUAUCUUAGAAAUAUCUUGGAAUAAUCUUUCCAACGCCGCCAAGUUUACGCGAUUCCGAGUUCGUAUGAGUGAGUUAUUCCCUUUGGAAGUUGGGCUGUUCAAAUAAUAAUGUCCAAUCCGGAUUUUUAAAGGGUGUUUUGGUCUUUUCCAUACCCUAUUAUUUUAGUUCGUUUUUGGUGAAUUAAUUAAGGGUCAAAACUGAAUUGGUUCAGUUUAGGCAAUUGGAGAUUUAUGCUAGGGUUUUUGGAGAAAGAACGCAAGAGGAGAAAAGAGGAGAAAGAGCAAAGUUCGUCGUUCUUGAAGGUUUAGCUUGUGGAUUUCGACAAGGGUUGAUCCCUAAAGAGGUAUGUGAGUCUUUCAUAGCAUUGAGUUCGUUCACUUACGGGCCAAUCAUGUUUAUUUCAUCGUAAAUUCGUCCUAAAAGAGUUUGAAAGUUGAUGUUCUUGACAUCUGUUCUUGAAUUUGAUAUUAUUCUUGAGUUGAGCUGAAAUUGAGAAGUUUCUGAGAUCAUUACGUCAAAUUAUUGAGUUGGUUGAAGUUAGGAUUUUAGGUACAUUUGCUGGGUAUCUGUAUCUAAAAAGAAUUUGGGAAAAAGAAUCGAAUUUGGGCGAAUUAGGGUUGGAAAAUGAAGAAGAAAAUUCGUCGGGCAAAUCUGGGAUCAUUACGUCAAAUUAUUGAGUUGGUUGAAGUUAGGAUUUUAGGUACAUUUGCUGGGUAUCUGUAUCUAAAAAGAAUUUGGGAAAAAGAAUCGAAUUUGGGCGAAUUAGGGUUGGAAAAUGAAGAAGAAAAUUCGUCGGGCAAAUCUGGGCACUGGUUCCGCGUCGUGGACCUGCUCCCCAGAUUUAAGAAAAGUCAUUUCGCGUUGCGGUCAUUGACCGUUCUGCCUCAAAAAGUAUUUUUGCGACCAAAAUUUAAAUACGCCUCCGCGUCGUGGACUAGUUUCCAGGCAGUGAUUUCUUGAUCAUUUCUCAUGUUUAGCUAUCUAAAAUCAUUCCUAAACAUCAUGAGAUCUUUCCUGUCACAAAUCUCAAUCCUUGAACCCACAAUUCAAUUCAAGGAGCAGUUAAUAGUCAAGAGAAGUUCAUAGAGUCUUCCAAGGGUCUUUUACAAAUAUUUUAACUUUGUNNNNNNNNNNNNNNNNNNNNNNNNNNNNNNNNNNNNNNNNNNNNNNNNNNNNNNNNNNNNNNNNNNNNNNNNNNNNNNNNNNNNNNNNNNNNNNNNNNNNNNNNNNNNNNNNNNNNNNNNNNNNNNNNNNNNNNNNNNNNNNNNNNNNNNNNNNNNNNNNNNNNNNNNNNNNNNNNNNNNNNNNNNNNNNNNNNNNNNNNNNNNNNNNNNNNNNNNNNNNNNNNNNNNNNNNNNNNNNNNNNNNNNNNNNNNNNNNNNNNNNNNNNNNNNNNNNNNNNNNNNNNNNNNNNNNNNNNNNNNNNNNNNNNNNNNNNNNNNNNNNNNNNNNNNNNNNNNNNNNNNNNNNNNNNNNNNNNNNNNNNNNNNNNNNNNNNNNNNNNNNNNNNNNNNNNNNNNNNNNNNNNNNNNNNNNNNNNNNNNNNNNNNNNNNNNNNNNNNNNNNNNNNNNNNNNNNNNNNNNNNNNNNNNNNNNNNNNNNNNNNNNNNNNNNNNNNNNNNNNNNNNNNNNNNNNNNNNNNNNNNNNNNNNNNNNNNNNNNNNNNNNNNNNUUAGAUGAUUCUUUAGUGCUUUUUAGCAUAGACUAGUGGAUCCACUUAGUAGUUUAGGUUCUAUACUCAUGGCAAGGUAUAUGAUGUCCUUGGCAGUGUGAGGCAAAACGUUGUAUCAUCACAAUAUCUCUUAAGUGAUGGUUGUCGGUUAGAGAAACUCCCACACAAGUAUUUUGUAUUCUUAUAUACACAGAUUAUUUGUAAUUUCAUAUAAAAUAGAGUUCAUAUUGUAUCUUUGCAUACAUACAAAGUUAUUAUUGUAUUUCUAGAUACAUAGAGUUUCUUUCCAUGUUUUAAAAGCUUUUCUUUAUAUUGCAUUUAUAUUACUGCUUUAGUUGAGUUGAGACUAGGUUUGUCGUACAUUCCAUGUACUGAUGCCAGUUGGCCUGCAUCGUUUUAUGAUGCAGACGUAGGUAACUAGGAUCAACAUCCAGUGCAUCGUUGAUCCAGUUGAGCACUCAGAGUCUGGUGGUGAGCCUCCUUUGCUUUUCCGGAGGAUCCCCUUUUUAUUGCUUUCAGUAUUUGAUUUCAUUAGGAUGUCGUGGGUCUUGUCCCGACAUCUAUAUCAGUUUUAGAGGCUUCAUAGAUAGACAAUCAGAUGUUAGUUAUUUUAGUAAUUUCAUUGUCAUUAUCUUAUGUUGAGACUUGUGUUUGCCUUAAUGGCCAGUUGAAUGUUCAUUUAUAACAUUCCAGUUUAUUACAUAGAUUUAUCUUUGUUGAGUUAAGUCUUCCGCUGAGUAAGUAAGCCAGGCCAAGGGUUUUCUUGGGGCCAACAAUGGUUCUCGAGUGCUAGCCACGUUUGGGGUGUAGGCUCGGGGUGUGAAAAACUUGGUAUCAGAGCAUAGAGUUCAAGAGUCCUAGGGAGUCUAUGAAGCCGUGUCUGUAGAGUCCUAGUUAUCGGUGUGAAGCGCGCCACAUCUAUAAUAGGAGGAUGCAACAUUUAGGAACUAUCUCACUUCUUUCACAUCCAUUUCGUGCGAUAAAGUUAAUCUCUAUAAAGUUUCUUCCAAUUCGUGGUUGUGCGUGUAUUUCAGAUCAUGCCUCUACGAAGAGCUGUCAAAGGUCGUCCGACUAGAAGGAAGGUUGAACCACAGGAACAAGGGGUACCUAAUGCACUAGAAGUGUAACCCCAAUGAGACGUCACCAAUGCUGAGUUCCUUGAGGCCAUUCAGAUGUUGAGCCAAGUUGUGACCAACCAAGCUGGGCAACAGAGAGAGAAUCUUCAGGAAGUGGCUGAUACUUCUAGAGUUUAUGAGUUCUUAAAGAUGAAUCCUCCAAACUUCACAAGUUCAAGUGUCAGCUUUAGACCUAAGGGGAGAUGACGAGAUGAAAAAUCAAGUCAAGUGUUUGAGAAUAAGAUAGUAAUGAGUCCCAAAAAGUAUGGGAGAUAUCUUUUCAGAAGACUUUUAGUAGUGAAGUGAUGUUAAAAGGAAAAGGCUAAUGAUCCAUGUGCAACAAGUUGAGGAGGACAAGCUGAGGGAUAGAGAAUAGUUUAAGAAUAAGAGGGCGAAGACAUCAGGGAAUGAGUCCGGGUGGCAGAAGAGUAAUGCCAACCGGUCUUCCUUCCAACAGAAACAAAAGUGACCUGCUCCAUCAUCUACUAGUGCACCUGUACCAAGAAACAAAUGUGAGUACAAUAGUCAGAAUUCCCAGAAUUUUAGAGCUAGACCUGCACAUUCUCAAGGCAGUGUUGCAUAAGGAGGUAAUGAGACUCAUGCAUAUGCUAAGUGUGGUCGGAACCACUUAGGGGUGUGACGGGAUGACUCCACUGGUUGCUUCAAGUGUGGUCAAGACAAUCAUUUUAUGAGAGAGUGUCCUGAGAACAGGCAGGGUAAUGGUAAUGGGAGACAAUAGAGCCCAGUCUUCUUCAGUUGCUCCACCAGACAGAGCUGCACCUAGAGGAGCUACUUCAAGUACUGGCGGAGGAGCAAACCACCUAUAUGCUAUCACUAGUCGCCAAGAGCAAGAGGAUUCACCAGAUGUUGUUACUGGUAUGAUCCAAGUCUUUAACUUUGACGUUUACGCUUUGCUAGAUCCAGGAGCGAGUUACCAUUUGUAACUCCAUAUGUUUCUAUGAAUUUCAAUUAUAUUCUGAGCAACUUAGUGUACCCAUCAGUGUUUCUACACCUGCUAGUGAGUUUAUUCUAGUAGAAAAAGUCUAUCGUGAUUGUUCCAUUUUCGUUAAUCACAAGAGUACCAUGACUGAUUUAGUUGAGUUAGACAUGGUAGAUUUUGAUGUCAUUCUAGGUAUGGAUUGGCUUCAUGCCUGUUGUGCCUCAGUUGAUUGUAGAACUCGAGUUAUCAAGUUUCAGUUUCCAAAUGAGCCAGUCUUAGAGUGGAAAAGUAGUUCAACAAUGCCUAAGGGUCGUUUCAUUUCAUACCUUAAGGCAGGAAAGUUAGUUUCCAAGGGGUGUGUCUAUCACUUAGUCCGAGUUAAUGACUCUAGUGUUGAGAUACCUCUUAUUCAGUCAGUUCCAGUAGUAAAAAAGUCUCCAGAAGUCUUUCUAGAUGAUCUACCCGUAGUCCCUCAUGAGAGAGAAAUAGACAUCGGUAUAGACCUUCUUCUAGAUACUCGUCCUACAUCUGUUCUGCCAUACUGAAUGGCACCAGUAGAGUUAAAAGAGUUGGAAGAGCAGUUGAAAGAUCUCCUUGAUAAAGGCUUUAUUCAACCAAGUGUCUCACCUUGGGGAGCUCCGGUCUUAUUUGUGAGAAAGAAAGAUGGUUCCCUUAGGAUGUGUAUAGAUUACCGUCCGUUGAACAAGGUUACCAUCAAGAACAAGUAUCCUCUUCCGAGAAUUGAUGAUUUUUUCGAUCAACUUCAGCGUGCCACCUGUUUCUCUAAGAUAGAUCUCAAAUCUGGCUACCAUCAGUUAAGAGUAAGAGAAUGUGAUAUUCCAAAGACAACUUUCAGAACCCGUUAUGGUCAUUAUGAGUUUCUAGUCAUGUCCUUUUGUUUGACCAAUGUGCCUGCAACAUUCAUGGACCUUAUGAAUAGAGUAUUCAAACCUUAUUUAGAUAUGUUUGUUAUCGUCUUCAUUGAUGACUUACUAAUCUAUUCAAGAAAUGAAGAAGAUCAUGCUAGUCAUCUCAUAAUAGUUCUCCAGACCCUAAAAGAUAAAAAAGUUGUAUGCUAAGUUCUCGAAAUGUGAGUUUUGGCUUGAGUCUGUGGCAUUCUUAAGCCACAUUGUGUCUGGAGAGGGAAUUAAAGUUGAUACUCAGAAAAUUGAGGCAGUACAGAAUUGGCCUAGACCCACAUCUCCAACUGAUAUUAGAAGUUUCUUAGGUUUGGCUGGAUAUUAUUUCAUCCCCUUUGACCAAGUUAACUCAGAAAACAGUUAAGUUUCAAUGGUCUGAAGCUUGUGAGAAAAGCUUUCAGGAGUUGAAAAAGAGGUUGACUACUGCCCCAAUAUUGACCUUACCAGAAGGUACGCAAGGCUUUGUUGUAUAUUGCGAUGCAUCCAGAGUUAGUUUGAGUUGUGUGUUAAUGCAGAAUGGUAAUGUUAUAGCUUAGGCCUCCAGACAGUUGAAAGUUCAUGAGAAGAAUUACCCAACCCAUGAUUUAGAGUUGGCUGCUGUAGUUUUGCUUUGAAAAUAUAGCGUCAUUAUCUUUAUGGUGUUCAUGUGGAUGUGUUCACCAAUCACAAGAGUCUUCAAUAUGUGUUUAGUCGGAAAGAGCUUAAUCUCAGACAAAGGAGGUAGUUAGAAUUACUCAAGGAUUAUGACAUGAGUAUUUUUAUCACCCAAGUAAGGCUAAUGUUGUUGUUGAUGCCUUGAGCAGGUUGUCUAUGGGUAGUACCGCCCAUUUUGAGGAAGAUAAGAACGAGUUAGCAAAAGAGGUGUAUAGACUUGCAUGACUAGGAGUUCGACUAAUGGAUUCCACAGAAGGAGGAGUAGUGGUGAUGAAUGGGGCUGAAUCAUCAUUAGUGUCAGAAGUGAAAGAGAAGCAAGACCAAGAUCCUUUAUUUCUUGAAUUAAAAGGCAAGUGUUCAUAAGCAAAAAAGUGAUGGGUUUUGAGAGAUGGUGUUUUGAGGUAUCAAGGUGGAUUGUGUGAUUGAUUUCAAGGGUAAUUUGGGAUGAUCCCCUACCUCUCAUUAAGUUUGCUUACAACAAUAGUUACCAUUCUAGCAUCCAAAUGGCUCCAUAUGAGGAUCGGAGAAGAUGCAGAUCUCUUAUUGGAUGGUUUGAAGUUGGUGAAGUUGGGUUGAUAGGUCCAGACUUAGUUCAUCAGGCUAUGGAGAAGGUGAAAGUUAUUCAAGAGAAGUUGAAAAUUGUCACGACCCGAGCCUACACCUAGACGUGGCCGGCACUCGAGAACCAUUGCUGGUCCCCAAGCGAACCCUUAUCCUGGCUAACUACAAGCGGAAAACUGAUUCAAGCAUACAAAGCUUAAAACUGAAUAGCAUUCAUGAAACUGAAAUACAAAGCUUUAACUCAAAUGAAAAACUCUGAAUAAAAUAAUAUAUUCAACUCGCCAUAAAAUAGGCAACUUAAGUCUUUAAAACAUUUAAUAAAAUAAAUGAAUAAUACAAACUUCUCAACUAUACUAACUAUCUAUGAAGCCUCUAACUGAUAAAGAUGGAAGUCGGGACAAGACCCACGACCUCUUAACUAAACUAAAAAGUAAAUGAAAUCCUCCGAAAACGAGGAGGCUCACCAUAGCUAACUCGAACUCCCGGAUGUGUCAACGAAUCUCCUGUUGAUGAUCCUGAAUACCUGUGUCUGCAUCAUGAGAAGAUGCAGGCCAAAUGGCUCAGUACGCGGAAUGUACGAGCUUGUAAGAGGAAUUCUAAAGCAUAAACAUAAGCUUGAAACUUGAUAAAAAUGGAAAAUACUUGCCUCUUUUCAAACUUACUCAACUCAAGGAAUACUCAAGGAUACUCAAAACUACUCAAACGUACUCAACUCAGAAGUACUCAAAGAUAAGAUACUCAACUCAAAGAUAUGUUAUUCGACUCUGGGUACUCAACUCUGUAUACUCAACUCAAUAUAAAGCAACAAUAAGAGAUGCAAUAUAUAGAAAGCUUUAUAAAAUAGUAAAAACAACUUAGUUCGUUAAAGAAAAUGCAAUAACAAACUCAACUUUACUUAUACAAUAAAGUAAUGUAGUUUAUGUGGAGUUUCUCCAACCGACAACCACCACUAUGAGCCUAAGUGNNNNNNNNNNNNNNNNNNNNNNNNNNNNNNNNNNNNNNNNNNNNNNNNNNNNNNNNNNNNNNNNNNNNNNNNNNNNNNNNNNNNNNNNNNNNNNNNNNNNNNNNNNNNNNNNNNNNNNNNNNNNNNNNNNNNNNNNNNNNNNNNNNNNNNNNNNNNNNNNNNUUAAUAUGAACUCGCAUCCCCAUAUCGAUGCUCAAUACUACUCCCAAAAAAUAUACUUAGCUCUUAUGUUUUAAAAAACCAAACUUCUUUCUUUGGUUUGAGAUAAUUACUCAAAACUUAGCUUAAAAGCUUUCUUGGAAUCGAUGUUCCCUUUCUUGCUCAAAACUCUUUUGGAAAUCUUAAUUUCCUCUCAUCUUAAAUGUGAAAACAUUACUCUUGGAAAUACUUAGUUCCCAUAUAUUAUUUUAAAGAAAAUGAACUUUACUCUUACUCUUUACUCAACUUCAAAGCUUAAGUCUUAAAACAAAAUUUAAACAUUUGUAAAAGACUUCUUAAAAUAUGGUUCAUGCCGAAUUAUGGACGUGAACGACUCAAUGCAAGGUUUUCAAUAACCAAAGAUAGAACUCAAUACUUGGAACUCAAGAACUUCAUUGUUAAUACUCGUUGCAAAAAUGCUCAACUCAGAGGGUUCAUGCGGAAUUAUGAGCAUGAAUAACCCAACUCAAACUUCAUGGGUAACAUGUAAUAGUCCCAUGAUUAGAACUAUAAUCUCAGAGGGGAUUAGAAACUCAAAACUCAAGACUUAGAACUUGAAGAUACUACUCCUUUCAAAGAUAUUGAACUGAUGGAGUUCAUGCAGAAGUUAUGGGCAUGAACGACUUGACUCAAGGGUCAAAAUAUCAAUAANNNNNNNNNNNNNNNNNNNNNNNNNNNNNNNNNNNNNNNNNNNNNNNNNNNNNNNNNNNNNNNNNNNNNNNNNNNNNNNNNNNNNNNNNNNNNNNNNNNNNNNNNNNNNNNNNNNNNNNNNNNNNACUUUUAACUCUCUCUUGAAUGUGAAUUAUGAAUUCAAGAGUUAUGGCUCAAGCUAUAAAAGAUAUCAUGACGAAAAAAUAGACUCAUGAAUACAUUCUCCUCACUCUCAUGCUCACUACUUGAGUGUUGAAAGAAGUUACUAGAAGUUGUAGAAGACUCCACAAAAGGACUCAAAGGGACUUUCUUAGAAUGUUUGAAAGAAUUCUCAAAACUUAGCUCUCAACUCUACCUUGAAUUUGAAUUAUUAAUUCAAGGUUAUGAUAAUGUUAUGAAUGAUUUCUAGGUGUUUAGAAGUAGUUUAAAGUGUUUAGAAUCAAAGGGGAGUAAAGGUACCAUUUGAAAGAACUCAAACAGACGAAACGAUGAACAACGGGUGGGGGCCGGCGACCCUGGCGCUCUGAGUCACGUGGGGCGCCAGCCCCUAAAGUUCAGAGAGGUGGUUGGGGCUCUCUGGCUGGCGUGACACUCCAGGCCCCAACCCAGAAAAGUUCGACGACUUUCUUUGCUCGUUUUCUCACCCUAAGUCGCCUAAAAUCGAACAGUUUCUUCCCCAAUCACUUGGAUUUAAUUAAUUAACAUUAAUACACUCUCAUAUACUCAAAACAACACUCAAAUUACUAAAUUUCAUUUGAAGAAAUCAUCAAAACCCCAACACAACAAGAUUUAGAAUGAACUUCAAGAACACCUAUCAAGAACUCAAAUCUUUCAACUUCAAGAAUGAAAUUUGGGCUGAAAAUAACAUGUUUGGAGUGUGGGUGAACAAACCCAACAUUAUGGAAGCUUACAUACCUCUUAGGGAUCAAACCCAUGGCAAAAAUCUGCAACAAGACGGAAGAAUCUCGACGAACGCUUGAUCCUCUCCUCUUUUCUCUUCUUUUCUCUUCUUGAACUCUCAACUAAAACCCUAGGCAUAAACUAGGAUUAUAAAACUGAACAUAAUCAAAUUAUACCCCUAAAAUAUUACUAAAAACGAAUUAAAUCUGAUUGGGUAAGGAAAAGACCAAAAUACCCCUUACUAUUUUCGACUAACUUUCCUUAACUGGGUUGCCUAACUUCAAAAGGUCAUAUCUCACUCAUCCAAACUCGAAACUUAGAAAACUCGUUGGCGUUGGAAAGAUAAUUCAAAGAUAUUUCCUACGGUAUCUGGUAGCACACCUAACGCAUCCUGAGCUAGGAUUUAUGGUCGUUUGAAGUCGACCCAAAACUCAUACUUAAGCAUAACUUGCAAAAUUUCAGAUUUUGCUAUUUCCAAGUUUGAACUUUUUUGGAACUCAAGGUGCUACAUCCAGUGACCUUAAAACUUAAGAAAUUUUUAAUUCCUUGGAAAAAUCUCACUUACUACGAUGAACGGUUCGAGUCUUAGUUCAAUUUUUUUUUUGGGUGUUACAAAAACAGCGUAGAGUCCUCAGAAAUCCUACAUUGAUGUUAGGAGAAAGAAGUUAGAGUUCGAAGUAGAUGAUUGGGUCUACUUGAAAGUUUCACCCAUGAAGGGUUUUAUGACAUUUGGUAAGAAGGGGAAGCUUAGCCCCCGGUAUAUUGGUCCUUACAGAAUAUCCAAGAGAUUCGCAAUGUAGCUUAUGAGUUGGAGCUACCUCAAGAGUUAGCAGCGGUUCAUUCGAUUUUUCACGUCUCCAUGUUGAAAAAGUGCAUGGGCGAUCCUUCUUUGAUCAUACCAACCGAAGAUAUUGGGAUCAAGGAUAGCUUAUCUUAUGACGAGAUUCCUAUUCAGAUUCUAGAUCGCCAAGUUCACAAGUUGAGAACAAAAUAGGUAGCAUCAGUCAAAGUCUUUUGGUGGAAUCAAUUUGUUGAGGAAACUACUUGGGAAUCGGAGGAGGAUAUGAAGAAGAGAUAGCCACAUCUCUUCGAAUCAGGAGAAAUUCCAGAACAAGGUACUAAUUCAUUUCUUAGUACUCUUUAACUUAUGAGAUUGCAUGUUGUAGUUGCAUUGGUUGUUGGCUGUUUGAACUGAAUGUUAGAUGUUAUGCCCUUAACUUACUAAGAGUAAGCUCAUUCGAGGAUGAAUGUUCCCAAGGGUGAGAUAUUGUAACACCCGGUAACUAGAAAGAACUAAAAAGCAAAUAGUCAUUUUUGGAAAGCAUAAAAAUCUCGAAAUAUUUAAGUGUGUUAAAGUUGAGUUUUUGGUCAAAUUCAAAUGACCAUAACUUCUAGCUCAGGAUGAGUUAAGUGUGUUUCCAGAUAUCUUAGGAAAUAUAUUGGAAUAAUCUUUCCAACGCUGCCGAGUUUACGCAAUUCUGAGUUCGUAUUAGUGAGUUAUGCCCUUUGGAAGUUGGGCUGUUCAAAUAAGGAAAUGUCCAAUCCAGAUUUUUAAAGGGUGUUUUGGUCUUUUCCAUACCAUAUUAUUUUAAUUCAUUUUUGGUGAAUUAAUUAGGGGUCAAAACUGAAUUGGUUCAGUUUAGGCAAUUGGAGAUUUACGCUAGGGUUUUUGGAGAAUGAACGCAAGAGGAGAAAAGAGGAGAAAGAGAAAAGUUCGUCGUUCUUGAAGGUUUUACUUGUGGAUUUCGACAAGGGUUGAUCCCUAAAGAGGUAUGUGAGUCUUUCAUAGCAUUGAGUUCGUUCACCUACGCGCCAAUCAUGUUUAUUUCAGCGUAAAUUCGUCCUAAAAGAGUUUGAAAGUUGAUGUUCUUGACAUCUAUUCUAGAAUUUGAUAUUGUUCUUGAGUUGGGCUGAAAUUGAGAAGUUUCUAAGAUCAUUACGUCAAAUUAUUGAGUUGGUUGAAGUUAGGUUCUUAGGUUUAGGUACAUUUGCUGGGUAUCUGUAUCUAAAAAGAAUUUGGGAAAAAGAACCGAGUUUGGGCGAAUUGGGGCUGGAAAACGAAGAAGAAAAUUCGUCAGGAAAAUCAGGGCACUGGCUCCGCAUCGCGGACCUGCUCCCCAGAUUUGGGAAAAGUCAUUUCGCGUCGCGGAGCGGUCACAGACCGUUCUGCCUCAAAAAGUAUUUUUGCGACCAAAAUUUAAAUACACCUCGACGUCGUGGACUAGUUUCCAGGCAGUGAUUUCUUGAUCAUUUAUCAUGUUUAGCUAUCUAAAAUCAUUCCUAAGUAUCAUGAGAUCUUUUCUAUCAAAAAUCUCAAUCCUUGAACCUAUAAUUCAAUUCAAGGACCAGUUAAGAGUUAAGUCAAGAGAAGUUAAGAGUCAAGUCAAGAGAAGUUCAUAGAGUUUUCCAAGGGUCUUUUACAAAUGUUUUAACUUUGUUUUAAGACUUGAGUUUGAGUUGAGUAAAGUUUGAAGUUCAUUUCUUCAAAAGAGUAUAUCGGGACUAUGUAUUUCCAAAGAGUAAAAUGUUUUUCACAUUUUAAAGAAGAAAUGAAACUUUGAUUUCCAAAAGAGCCUUUGAGCUAGUUUUCAGUGAAGAGCCUUUGAGUUAGUUUUCAGUUUAAAGAGUAAAUGCUUUCACAAUAAAGCAAGAGAGGAAACUUAGAUUUUCAAGAUAGCCUUUGAGCUCAGUUUUUGAGCAAUUAUCUCAAAUCACAGAAAGAAGUAUGUUUUUUAAAACAUAAGAGCUAGUAUUAUUUUGGGAGUAGUAUUGAGCACCGAUAUGGGGUAGAGUUCAGACAACUCACAACCCCCAUAAACCAUGUAGCCACCAUGGGUAGAAAAGGGUCCUAUUGUUUAGAUGAUUCCUUGAUGCUUUUUAGUAUAGACUAGUAGAUCCACUUAGUAGUUCAGGUUCUAUACUCAUGGCUAAGUUUAGGACGGCCCUGGCAGAGUGAGGCAAAACGCUGUAUCAUCACAAUAUCUCUUAAGUGAUGGUUGUCGGUUAGAGAAACUCUACAAUAGUAUUUUGUAUUCUUUUAUACACAGAUUAUUUGUAUUUUCAUAUACAAACAGAGUUCAUAUUGUAUCUUUGCAUACAUGCAAAAUUAUUAUUGUAUUCCUAGAUACACAAAGUUGCUUUCCAUGUUUUAAAAUCUUUUAUUUAUAUUGCAUUUAUAUUACUGCUUUAUAUUGAAAUCAAUUCAAUUCAGUUGAGUUGAGACCAUGUUUGUUUCUUCAGUUCCUUUUAAGCUUAUGUCUUGUUUUAGAUUUCCCCUCGCAUACUCGUACAUUCAAUGUACUGAUGCCAGUUGGCCUGCAUCUUUUCAUGAUGCAGACGCAUGUAACUAGGAUCAACAUCCAGCGCAUCGUUGAUCCAGUUGAGCACUCAGAGUCUAUGCUAAAAUGCACUUAAGGAAUCAUCUAAAAAGUAUGAUCUUUUACUAUCCAUGAUGGCUACAUGGUUUAUGGAGACGUGAGUUAUCUGAACUCAAACUCGUCCCUAUAUCGGUGCUCAAUAUUACUCCCAAAAUACUCAGCUCAUAUGUUUAAAAACAUAACUUUUUCUGUGGUUUGAGAUAACUACUCAAAAAUCUAUUCUUAAAAGAGAUGAUACUCAAACUGCUCAAAACUCUUUUGAAAAUAUCUGUUUCCUCUCAUCUUAAAUGUGAAAACAUUUACUCUUGGGAAUACUUAGUUGCCAUAUAAUCUUUGAAGAAAUAAACUUUACUCUUACUCUUUACUAAACUCAAAGCUUAAGUCUUAAAACAAAGUUAAAACGUUUGUAAAAGACUUCUUAAAAUAUGGUUCAUGCCGAAUUAUGGACAUGAUGGACAUGGAUGACUCAAUGCAAGGUUUUCACUAACCAUAGAUAAAACUCAAUACUUGGAACUCAAGAACUUCAAUGAUACUGCUCAUUUCAAGAAUGCUUAACUUAGAGGGUUCAUGCAGAAUUAUGAGUAUGAACUACUCAACUCAAGGACUCAAGGACUCAAAGAUACUUCUCAUCUGAAGACAGGAACUCAACACUUAAAGGCUUAGAACUUGAAGAUACCACUUCUCUGAANNNNNNNNNNNNNNNNNNNNNNNNNNNNNNNNNNNNNNNNNNNNNNNNNNNNNNNNNNNNNNNNNNNNNNNNNNNNNNNNNNNNNNNNNNNNNUUAGGAACUCAAUACUCAAGACUUAGAACUUGAAAAUACUACUCCUCUCAAUGAUGCUCAAUUUAUGGAGUUCAUGUGGAAUUAUGGGCAUGAAUGACUCCCAAUAACGAACUAAUGUAUACGACUUUUCUCCAUACUUACUUAUUCAAAACUUAACUCAAAUUGAUGGUGGAUCUAAAAGGAUUCACAAUUGAAAUCAAAGUCUUCCUUGAACUCUACUCUUUAACUCCUCUUGAAUGUGAAUUAUGAAUUCAAGAGUUAUGGUUCAUGAUAUGUAGGAUAUAAAUGAUAGUGUAGACUCAUGAAUACAUUCUCCUCACUCUCAUGCUCACUUACUUGAGUCUUGAAAUAAGUUAUUAGAAAUUGAAGAAGACUCCUCAAAAGGACUCUCUCAAAAUGAUUAAAAAAACUCUCAAGACUUAACUCUCAACUUUACCUUGAAUUUGAAUUAUGAAUUCAAGGUUAUGAUUCAUGUUAUGAAUGAUUUCUAAGUGUUUAGAAGUAGUUUAGAGUGAUUAGAAUUAAAGGGAGUGAAGGUUCACUUAAAAGGGGCUCAAACGGGACAACCGACGGAAAAUGAGUUGGGGCAACCAACCCUGGCGCGUUCCGGGCGCAGGGAGCCAGCCCCUAACUUCAGAGGCUGCAUAUGGGUGCACUGCAGGGGCGCUGCCCCAGCCCCUUGGUCGCAUUUGGGGCGCGCCACCCUAGCCUCUCCCCAGGUCAAGUUCGACGAAUUUUGCCUCUCGUUUUCUGAUCCUAAAUCACUUUUAAUCGAUUUAUUUUCUCAAGUUUCCCUUAAAUUCAAUUACUGAACCUAAGUACACACUAAUCCACUCAAAACAAUCACUUUCAUCUCGAGAAAUCAUCAAAACCCCAACAAGACAAGAUUUAGAAUGAACUUCAAGAACACUUAUCAAGAACUUAAAUCCUUUAACUUUUGAGAGUGAAAUUGCGCUGAAAGUAACAUGUUUGGCGUGUGAGUAAACAAACCCAAUAUUAUGAAAGCUUACAUACCUCUUAGGGAUCAAACCCAUGGCGAGAAUCCGCAACAACACGCAAGAAUCUUGACGAACGCUUGAUCCUCUCCUUUUUUCUCUUCUUUUCUCUUCUUGAACUCUCAACUAAAACCCUAGGUGUAUUUUAGGAUUAUAAAACUGAACCUAAUCAGAUUAGACCCCUAAAACAUUACUAAAAAAUGAAUCAAAUUUGAUUGGGUAAGGAAAAGACCAAAAUACCCCUCUAAAAUUUGAUUUUGAGUUUCCUUAUCUAGACAUCCCAACUUCUAAUGGCCAUAUCUCCCUCAUACGAACUUCAAAUUGAGUAAACUCGGUGGCGUUGGAAAGAUAAUUCAAAAAUAUUUCCUAAGGUAUCUGGUAGCACACCUAAAUCAUCUUGAGCUAGGUGUUAUGGUCGUUUGAAGUCGACCCAAAACUCAUACUUAACUUAACUUGCAAAAUUUCAGAUUUUGCUAUUUCCAAUUUAGUUCUUAUUGGAACUCAAGGUGCUACAUAUAGUUACCUUGACACUUAAAGAAAAUUUUAAUUUCUUGAUUAAAUCUCACUCACUACGAAGAACGGUUUAGGUCUUAGUUCGAAAAUUUUUCUGGGGUGUUACAAAAUUCUUCUUCAAUAAUUGAAUCUAUUAGUUAGUGAACUCGAGUAAAUGGCUAAAAACAUCCCUGAACUAUACCUCAAACUCAAACUACAUCCGUGUAUCAUUACAUUGAACAAAAAACAUCCUUCAACUAUCUAAAAAACUGCAAGUUACAUCCUUAUGUUAACUUUCUAUCAAGAAACUAAUCACUUUAAGUAGAAGCACACAACAUUCCGAUAAAGGCAAACAAUUUUGCCCACUCACUGAUCUUCUCUAUCAAGUAGUAAACUAGUAAUCAUAUUAAAAGGUAUUCUAUGACUAGCAUUAUUGUAGGAAUAUUAAUUAAUUAAGGCCUAAAGAUUUAUAACUUGGGACUUGUUCAACUUUGGUUUGUCCCUUUUUUAAUUUUACUGAGCUUGUUAUUAUGUUGUUAGCUUUUCUAUCAAGACUCUUAUUGAUCCCAUGCUAUUUCGAGUUUGCUUUAUUUUUUCAUUUUCUAAUUAGUACGUUACUCCUCCAACAACAUUCAUCAAAUUUCCAAUACUCUCAACUAAUUAAAUGAAAACUUUAAACAUAAAAAUCAGAUGUAAACCUUGCAGAUUUGUCUUUGGACAUAAAAAUAAUAAUUAUGUGAUACUAAAAUACAAGGAUUUGAACUCUUAAUUAGUGUGUGUUUUGGUGCUGGGAAAAAUAAUUUUUAAAAAUAUAUUUUCAAUUUUUCAUAUUUAAUUGACCAAAGUUUUUGAAAAAUAUUUUAUCUAAGAAGACAAGUUCUUAAAAUAUAAAAAAAAAUGAGUUGUAAUAUCGACGUAGGAAAAAAAGCUCCACAAAUGACAUUUCAAAUUCAUUCACAAAUCCUUUUAGCAAAGACAAUGUUUGUUCUAUGUUUAAGAAGACAGUGAGGGGACAAAAUCUCUUUUCAUUAGGAGAUGGUCGCUAUAUUUUUGAUAGAAAAUUAAGGAGGGAUGUAACUUGUAACUUUCAAAAUAGUUCAGCGAUGGUUUUUGUUCACAAUAAUAAUAUAAGGAUGUAGUUUGAGUUUAAGGUAUACUUAAAGGAUGUUUUUGGCCAUUUACUCUAGUGAACUCCUCCAUUAAUGACUAGUCUAAAGUUAGAUUCUUGUAACUUUCAAUUUUGAUUUUGAUUUUGAACUACCAACAAAUUAUCAAAGUGAUGAAAAGUAUGUGAUUUGGUGGUGGGAAUUGACUUAGUGAUGAAAACCUGAUGAGGGCGGUGACCUGGUGGUUGAGGUGAGCCACCGCUGAUGUUUAGUAUGGAUCUGAUGAUGAAGAUUGAAGGGAAGAGAUAAAGAAGGUAACAAAUAAAUAAAAGGAAACAUAUUUUUAAAAAAGUAGAAUAUUAAUAUAAAUUAAAUAAAAUAUUUAUGAAGUUAAUAUUCUAAUUAUUUUUUGAUCUCUCACUCUCCCAAAGAGAGUGAACUAUACCUUCUUUGCCACAUCAACAUUUAGGGAGCAAAUAACUCCAUUUUAAAAUAGUCCAGGGGUGUAAUAGGACUCUUGUAAAGUAUGAGUGUGUAGUUGGGAAUCCGACUAUUGGUUGGGGGCAGUGGCGGAGCCAGAAAUUUUAAUAAUGGGGUUCAAAAUCUGAGAAGUAAACACACGAACUAGUGGAAGAGGGUUCGACAUCUAUUAUACAUACAUAAAAAAUAAUUUUAACCAUGUAUAAAUAGUAAUAUUUUUCGUCGAGGGGGUUCGGAUGAACCCCUUCAUUACAUGCUGCCUCCGCCCCUGGUUGGGGGGCUUUUGGCCAUUUUCUCUUCUUUUAUAUGGUGCACUAAGUUUCAAGUGUUAGUGCACUUUUAGUCUCUUUAUUAACAUCCAUUUACUCAUUAACGUUUUGAUCGAUCCUUUACACAUCCAUUUAUGGCCUCCGCUGUAUACGUUCUGGUACAAAACAAAUUAAUUCUUAGAUUUAUCUUAGCAAUUGCAGAUGAGUCUUCAUUUAUACUUGUUUUAUUUUUUGGCUCUGCAUCUUCAUUGUUUGGUGUGCACCAUUAAAGAUUUGCUAAUUCUUUAACUUUCUCCUCUAUUUUCCAUACACAAUUAAUAGGCUGACUAAGCCUUUGGGUUUUUCCUGAAUAAAAGUUUCUUGUGCUUUGCCUAUAUGUAUAUCUGGAGCAUAACCAAAGAAUAAAAUAAAAACAAGAAAAAAGGAAAAAUAUAAUGCAUGUAUCAAUAUCUCAAAUUAGAGUCGGAUAAAGGGUGUGUUCUAAUCAAAUUUUUUGGAAAAGAUUUUGUUUAGGAAAACAAGUUUCAUACGUGACACUUCAAAUGAAAAAAAAGACUUUGUUUAGGAAGUAGGGAAAACAAGUUUCAUAUGUGACAUUUCAAUUGAUUAUAUUGUCCGCCCACUCUCUAAGACACCACAUCUUCACCUCAGUACUCCCAUAGCUUCCAUACCCACUACCCUACACAUCUACCCUACCUCCGUCUCUCAUAGUAUUUGUCUAGAUUAUACGUAAAUGCUUUUAGAAUAACCAGCCAAAUAGAGUCAACAGGAGGAGACUAGUAAAGAAGUAGUCAUGUGGUUUUCUAGUCUUUUCAUUAACUAGUCAAUAGUUAUUCUUGAGCUACAUAUCAAGUUAGCAUAUAGAGCAAUUUUGCAGGUAAUUUAAGGAGCAUUAAACAUUAAUUAUCCUUUUCUACUAUUAUCAAUCUACAAAUCCUUGGAAAUGGAACAAUUUUAACUUACCCAAUAUUGAAAUGUGAAAGAUGGACAGAAGUAAAAAGAAUUAGCGUAACAAUGGCAGCAAAACCCUAUAUCCCCAAAUAGGACAAAUUCAGAUUCAGAUUUAAAAAAAUAAUCAGAAAUCUAACCUUAUAAGCUGAUGAAGUAGAAGUGGCAAAAAGAGAUACUGGAUUGAUUGAGUGGUGUUGUAGAAAUACCUCAACAGUUGACUACUUCCUCACAUUUCUUUUGUCAUUAUAUUUUAUACAACUCCUUUUAAUUCCUUUUAUCUAAGUUUUUAAUUAUGCGGUGGAGUAAUAAGUACUUAUUCAUAUUUAGUUAGAGGUUUCGGAUUUGAGUCUUUUUGGCUAUAAAAGGAUCUUUGUUAGGGAGUGCUUUACCCAUAAUUUGAGAUUUUUUGGCACAAAUUCAAAUUUAGUGAGGCUCUAAUUUGGAUAUCGAACACUGAGUGGAAAACCAAAAAAAGAAAAAUUACCAUAGGGCUCAUUUGGUAGGUGGAUAAAGCUACAUCUACAUGGUUUUUCAUGUAUUUAAUUUAUAUAAUGUUUUGUUGGUAGAAUGUUGUAUAAAAGUUAUUCAUGUAUUAACAAAGAUGUUUCUCUCUACGAUAUGUUCCCGCAAGAGAAAGAGUUUGUUAUUUGAGGGGGGGGGGUUAUUUGGAGUCUUUUAACCACAAUUUGAAGCCUCGACAUAUCUCUUUUAUCCAUGGUUCAAGGCCCCGACGUAUUUUUUUUGCCACGGUUCGAGGCCCCAACAUAUCUCUAUUCGCCUUGGUUCAAAUCCUAACAUGUGGUUCAUUUGGGUUCUUCGGGGUGCCUUCACCAAAGUUCAAGUCUGGAAUCAGCCAUUGCAGUUCUUGAAAGCUUUUAAUGUAGCUAGUGUUAUUCAUAGUACUUCUGUGUACUUAUCAGACCUAAGUGAAUCCAAACUCGUUUGAGUUAUUUACUUUCCAAUUGCGCACGAAUAUACGUACUUGCUGGGCUUAUAGGGUCCAGUUAGGUUAUAGAUAAUUGUUUUACUUUACUACUUCGUUCUAUCCACACUUGUGAGCUAUAUAGUUAGAUUUUCUGUUAUUGCUUUGUUCAUUUUACCUCUAAUUACCGUUACUUUCAUAUUGUUUUUACUUUCCAAGUUUAGUCAAACUAUGAUGCCUACUCGACACAUGUUGUUUUGAUAUUCAUGCUACACUCCACAUCUGUUUUCUUGAUGUAGAUUUGAGCACCUGCUGAUAACGGUGAUUCGAGCCUAAGUAAUGCGAAGAUCUUCUGAGAUGAAGGGUGAGUUGUUGGCUUCCUAGUUCGACUUAUCUCCAUAUGUAUAUAGUUUUUUACCUGUCUUUUGUAUUCGAGACAAGUAUAUUAAUUAGUAAGUCAAUAGCAUAGGCUCUAAACUAUGACUAAAACAUUGAGUGCAUGACAUGCACAUCUUACUCCUUAUUUUCCUUAUUCAGGGCCGUCUUAACCUCUAGGCCACUAAAGCCAUCGCUUGGGGUCCCAUAUAUUUUGGGUCCCCCAUUUUAAAAAAACAAUUACUUAUAUAUGUUAUUUUUUUAAAAAUAAAUUAUAUGUACUAUUAGCGUUAUGAUUUAUGCUAAAGAAAUUGCAUAUGAGAUGAAAAUAUACCUUAAUUUCGUAAGAAACGGUUUGAUGAAAAUAUGGAUAGAGAAAUCACAAAGUCCCUUGAAUAAUCUUUUAGUGUUUAUUGAUUUAUAUAUGUAGGGUAGAUCAAACUAUUUUUUCAUUUCAAAAUAGAUUCGAACCAAUUGAAGCAUAUAUAUGGAAAUAUUUUUGAUUUCUUAUUUAGUAGUAAAAUGUUGAGAUCACUAGAUGAUGAAUUUAAAAAAUAUUGUCUUAACCUUGAACUUUCUUUAACAUGUAAUAGUUAUUCUGAUAUUGAUGGUUUAAAUUUAUUUUUUGAAUUAAAAGUGUUAAGGGAAAUAAUACAAAUAGAAGAUAAUGAUCUAACAAAAAUACUCAAUCAAAUAAAAAGACUUGAUUCUUUUUCAAAUACACAUAUUGCUUAUAGAAUAAUGUUAACAGUUCAUGUAACCGUUACCUCAGCCGAAAGAAGUUUUUUCGAAAUUAAAAUUGAUUAAAUCUUCUUUAAGAUGAACAAUGUCUCAAGAGAGAUUGAAUGAAUUAGCUAUAUUACCAUUUGAAAAAUAAUUAUUAAAACAAAUUGAUUAUGAAACAGUACCUAUUGACUUCGCAUCUAAAGUAGCUAGAAAAGAAGAUUUUAAAUAAAAGUAUAUAGGAUGAAAAAAAUAAAAUAUUAGGGCCCCUCUAUUCAGUUUUCCUUUAGGCCCCUAAUGUUGUUGAGUCGGCCUGGUUAUUCGUACCUAUUUUUUUCAUACUUUCUAACUUCACUAGUACAUUAUCAUUUGUUAAGGAAAAUUAUGUAAACUGAAUAGUAGAUGGCCUGAUCCACUUAUGAGUGAGUGCUAGUUCAUUGAUUGAUACAACUAAUUCACAUUAAAUAAUAUAUAUUACAUUUUUGAACUGUUAAACUAGAAAUAAGAUUAAGGAUAAGGGAACUCUGUAUUAACUUCACUUUUCCUUAUUAGUAUCAAAAGUUUCUCGUUUAGGAAAUAGGAAGUUUUGAAGGACUAAUAUUAUCCUUUCUUUUAAAUUGAACUCUAUCUAAUGGCUGAUUCUAUUUAUGAAUCAAUCCCUUAGGUGCAUUAUUUCCAUAGGUUCCAACAUUGGUAACAAAAUCUAGCUUUCUCGCUUGAAUUGGCAUAAUUCUAUACUUCCCUCAUCUUAUCUAUCACGGAGGCCGCUCCCACCUUAUCCCUUAUAUCCUCAUUCUAAUCUUUAUCACUCCGAGUAUGAACACGCAUCCACCUCAAUAUCCAUAUCUCUGCAACAUGCAUCUUCUAGACAUGAGAGUUCUUGACUGGCCAACUCUCAUUUCCAUACAACAAUUUACAUACACACUCUAUAUAAAUACACACAUACAUAUAUUGGUGGAAAAAUCAUCAAUAGAUGAAACUUAAACAAUACUCUCUCUAUCUCAAUUAAUGUGACAAUUGGAUUUUAUCUUUUAAAUUGUUAAUUAUUGUGAUUUACCUUUUCACAUAAUUUUCAAAUAUAUAAAUUUUAUAUAAAAAAAUUUAAAGCUUCUGUAUCCGAAUUUACUGUCAAAUUAUAGAAGUUUGAAUCUCAAAAUUUCAACUAAUGCCACGUAAAUUAAAUCAACCCUAACACUCAAAAAAGCUACAAAUAAUUCAAACAUAGAAAGUAAAAAAGAAGUAGAAAAAACCUUGAUAUAUAUAUAUAUAUAAAUAAAUUAUAUAUUGAUUUGUAAUUGGUUGCUGUCACUUCUGAGCAAAAUCGUGCACACUCAAUGGAUGCUGUUACAAGUAAUAUUGGUGUACAAAUAACUACCAAAAACAAAGGGAAAAUGCCAAGAGUUGGGGUUGAUGCAUCGCGAGUUGGUUCAGGCCAAAAAAUAAUGGAUUCAGGACACAAACUAAUGGAUACAUCUGAUGUUGAAGAUGCUGAAGAUUCUGGACAGCAUGUUUUGCAAGUUGAAACCAAGAAUGCAACUAAAAAUUGGACACUAGUUGCACACAAAAAUUCAACUAGUAAUCGGAGCCUUUCCCGACUAAUCAAAAUAAUUCUCCAUGUAGUGAAAAGGGUGCGACUGAAAAUUUUCAUGACAGUGAGAAGAGGCAAGAUAUUAGUAAUGCCUCAAGAUACCUAUUUUGUUCGAAUAGCUUUGAUGCUUUAUCAAAGACUACUGGAAAGAAAGUAAAGUUAACAGAGAAUGACAACGAUUUGAUCUAAGAAAAGCAAGUCUCACCACCUACUUUGAAUAGCAAAUUAAGUCCAAAAGCUCCCAUAUUUGUGCCUAAAUGCGUGAUUGUAAAGAAGAAUGAGACAAGGGCCUUAGUGUCAGAUACAAUUGAUUUGAGCGAGGAUUCUCUUGAUGAAGAUGAGGAAGACAAUAUGCUUGAUUUGGGCGAGGAUUCUCUUGAUGAAGAUGAGGAAGAUAUGCUGGACAUAUGCUUUGACAGAGUGGCUAGGGAAGGAGAUAUAUCACCUCGGCAACAAAUAAGUAGAAGCAACAAAAGCAAAAAGAAGACACAUGGAAGGCAACAUAGUUGAGACGGUAAAAUGACUGAGGAGUUUGUUCCAAGGCACCUACCAAUGCGACAAGCAAAGCAGAACCAUUUGACAGUAUCAAUUGGUUCAACAAGAUCCAAUAAAUCCAUAAAGAAAGUAUGAAUUAUCAAGUGUUGUUGGAUAAGUUUGAAGAAGAAGACAACAGAAAAAUACUUUAAGUUACUUUUGAUGGGCAAUCAAUCUUUUUUAAUUCAUGCGUUUGUAAUUGAAAGUUUGAGGUUGAUAACUCAACUUUCUUCUUGAUUGACAUAUUUUUACAUUAUUUAAGCAUCCUAGUUUGUAAUAUCAUCAUGGAGUGUAUUACAAACUUUGUGGUGAUCAGAAAAUACUUAGUUCUCUCUAGCUCUUAUUUUCUUCAUGCUUGUUAGGUAGUAGACGUUAGGUACUUCAUUAGGAUUAGUACGGUAAGGCCUACCCCCUUGCUUGCACUUAUCCCUAUUGAUUUUUUUUAUGUUUAAUAAAAGGCCACUAGACACUGUCUAGUGGUAAAUUUGCGGGAAAAAAAAACCUUGAGAUAAUAUGCCUUGCGAAUUUCCUCUUGAGAUGCUAAAAGACUUACAUCAAGAACAUCAUAAUACUCUGUCUCUUUAACCAUUUUCUUUUCUUUUUCCAAAAUCCCAAUUAACAAAAAACUACUCUUUUACCUCUUCCAAUACUCUGAUUACCUUUUUUUGCGCUUGUAAAAUUUUAAAGUAGGAGCGGAAAACCAUUUGACUGUAAGGAAAAGAAACAAGCCGUGUUGAGAAUUGAUUUAAAAUCUUUUGUUUAAGUUUACUGCUUAGGAUAAGUUUUACAGUAGGUUGAAUAAGUCUUUUACUAGAAUUGAAAUAGUCUUUAUUAGUUACUACUUUUCUGGUAGUAUUUAGUCAAGUGGCGUCUAUUAUCUUUCUGAGUUUGUUAGCCUAUAAAAGGCGUAGAGACUUCUAGUUAAUAAUCUCUCUUCUUCCUACAAGCCAAACAAAAAAAAUGAUGAGUGAUCCAAACAAUUUUAAGCUCAAACACAAUGUUAUAAGAAGGUAAGAUAAGAAAUAAUGUCACAAUAUUACAGGUAAAUCGUUUUCUUUUUCCUGUUUUUCAAUUUUUAUCACUAUAAUAUUAUGUAUGCCAAAUCUCUAAGAUGAGGCCUCAUCCAUUGGUAUGGUAUAGAAGUAGCGUUCAAUUUGCUCGACUGCAUUAUCCUCGCCCUGAGUCUCGUUUCCUCUCUUUAUUGGAACUAGGCUCUCCUUGUAAUUGAAAACCCAACAGCCAGCAAUGAAAAGGUCCAGCUGAAAUCCAAGAUCUGUAACUUGCCUUGUUUUAGGGUCAUAUAGCACCAGCUGUGAAGUUUCUGUGAUCUCGAAAACCAUCUUAUCGUUAUCCCAGAUGUUGAGAGGCCAAUGAGCAUCUAUAUGAGGUUGAAUAGUAAGAACUUUGGACCAAUUUCCCUCUUGUUUCAUUACCCACACAUUGUAUAUGGAUGUCAUUGGUUUGCCAGGGUCACCGGUUAACAUAGCAAGUAAGCCGCCAUGCAAUGUAAGUGUCCCCCAAUGUUCACUUGGAAUAUGUGGGACUUGUAUCUCCCCAAACUGUUCGCUGUCCAUGUCAAAAGAGCGAAUCGUGUAGAUAUCAUCAAGGCCCCUACAAAGCCAAUAAUAAACCCUGUUGAGAUAAGUGGCAUCAAGGGGUGCAGACAAG
RNAcentral lists this long non-coding RNA (47008 nucleotides) under Solanum tuberosum (potato). RNAcentral's name for it is "long non-coding RNA (STUB_LNC005037)". The record is from RNAcentral. Lineage: Eukaryota; Viridiplantae; Streptophyta; Magnoliopsida; Solanales; Solanaceae.